This 44304-nucleotide long non-coding RNA is filed under the name Phaseolus vulgaris (common bean). Its description in RNAcentral is "long non-coding RNA (PVUL_LNC004279)". The record is from RNAcentral. Lineage: Eukaryota; Viridiplantae; Streptophyta; Magnoliopsida; Fabales; Fabaceae.
AAAAAAAAAAAAAAACUUUCUCUAAUACAUAGUUCCAAAAUGAUAAUACAAAUAAAUGAUUGAAUAAAAAAUCCAAUCAAAUAAACUCUCGUUGGCAUUUAACUUUGUUAAUAAAAUUCUAGGAUAUAGUUGCACGUUAGUAUCAUUAUUUAUUUUUUGGAUUGACCUGUUUUUGAGAUUAUCUUAUUGACUUUCACUUCAGUUUUAAGAGGAUAUCUUAGUCUUCUAGAGAUUUAAACUAAUUCAUUGUUUUCACUUAAUUUUUUUUAAUGAUUCUUUCUUUUCCAUCUUUUCAACCCAGAACUUAAAGAUCAAAUUGAUUUCUUCUAAGACAAUAUUUGUCGAGGUAGAUUUAAAUCUUGAGAAACAAAUUUAAAAAUAACUUAUUUAACGACAACUAAUUUAUGACCAUUAGUUGCAAAUUUGAGAUGAGAGAAUUCUUAUAAAAUACUGGAUUUUCAAGAGACAAUAAAUUAUUUUUUUAACAAAUAAUCCAAUUCAUAAAUAUCUUCCAAAGAUAGCAUAUCAACAAAAAUAUCAUCAAACCAAUCAAACUACUUUUUUCUUUAGAUCUCAAAAGAUUAAUAAUUAGUAGUAGUUAAUGUUAUAACAAAUAUGAGUUGAAAUUUGUUAUAGAAAUAAGAAUAAAAAAAGUAAUAAAUAAAAACAAUCUAAUCAUUAUUUAUGUGUCGAUAAUAUAUCUUCUAAACUAGUCUAACACUUAAACAUACUUGAUUAUACUAUAAAAAAAUUGUCUAUGUGAAAGAAGGAGUUGCAUGAGUGUUUUAUAGUUAGAGUUGGGUUGUGGAAGUAUGAUUUGUAUGAUAUGUGAAAGGGUACAAAGUGUAGAGUAUGAGUGAAUAAUUAAUAAGACUAUUUUUGGGGCAAGCAAAGAAAAUAAAGCCUUCUUUUGAACGUCCCCAUUAUGAUCAUAAACAGAAAAGAUGAAGGAGCUUGUGCAAUAAUUGCACAACACAAGUUCAGAGUUAUUAGAAUUAUAUGGGUCCUUUAGUGUAUGCAUGACACAGAGCGUUUUGAAAUGGUGAUGUCCACAUGUAAGGAAAUUAUAGCUCCUUUUCUAGAUAUACUUUGAAUGGGAAGAAAUGUGAUAGUGAUAGGAGUAGGAUACAUUUGUUGAGGCAAUGAAUUAAUAGCAUAUACGUCCAAUUUUAUGCAACUUUGUUCACCCUUCUCCAAAGGACUUCACAGAUUUAUGGGGGGAAUAUCAUUUUAAUUGAAGAUAUUGUUACUCAAAUAUUAAACAUAAAACAUUUCAAAUAGAUGAAAUUUGGCAACAUGUUAGUCACGUUUUUUGUAUGCAGAGGACAUUUAUAACUAUGAACAUUUCAAAUAGAUGAAUUUUUUUACAAGCAUGAUAACUUUGUUGAAGAUUUGGAAUGAAUAAGAGAGGUUGACUAAAUUUAUGAAGGCAUUUGCAAAAAGGGAUCCAUGUUAUAAUUCCUUGUAUUGAAUCUGAACAUGUUAGAAUAAUGAGUGAUGCCAGCUAGAGAAAUAAUACGUGAAACCCAUAUAACACUUUCUCUCCUACUAAAUUAUCUCUCAAAGCGUGUGCAACUUUCACACUAUCAAACAACAUUUACUCAUUAGUAUAAAACCCUAAUCAUCAUCCACUCACUUAUUGUUUAUACUAUCACCAACUUCAAACUUAACAUCUUAUUUAAAACAUUGAUUUACACAAUUUUAAAUACAAAAUCUAUAUUGGAUUUCACAAUUAAAAUAAAUUAACAAUUACAGACAAAUCUGAAAUUAAUGUUUUAAAAAUACUUGCUAGCAUUUGUCUUGCUAUAUUAACUAUUUGAACAAAUUUCAAUACAUUAAAACAUGGAAGUAGUUUACAUAAUGAGAGUUUAGUGAAUAAAUUUUGGUGCACUUAUGAUGAGCUUAACUUAAUUAUAUUAUAUGAAGAAUGAGUUGAGUUUGUGAAGUGUGAGGAAGUGAACAGAGUUGAGGUUUAGCAGCCCAUGAUUUUUCUGUGAUAAAGGGAAGGCAAGCAUGUCUUACACCAAUUAAGUGCCUCAGUGUUCUCCUCUUCAUAGCAAUCAUACAAGAUUAGGGGCAAAAUAUGAUUAAGGCUCCAGAAAGUAAUGAAUUAAAUAAGGGUAUUGUUUCCUUUUUGAAGAGCCAGGGGCCACCUUUGUAAUUACAUUAAAAGUAGUAACAUUUUUACUUUGCUUUGAAAUUUCAAAUCUCUUUCUCUCACUCUGAAUCACAAGGCAUCAUGGCAGCCAAAGCAAAAGAAAGGGGUUGUGUUACAAUAAAGAAUGGGAGAAAAGGAAAGAAGCACGUUGCCAACCCCAUCUUAGUACACUCACACACUUCACCAAAACCCUCUUCUUCUUCUUCUUCUUCACUCUCUACUCAAAUGAAAAUACUUUGCUCCCUUCCUCCAACUCUCUCAUACUUUCAGUUUUCUUUGUUCAUGCAAGAUCCAAAGAACGAUUCAAACUCAAGGUAUGUUAUGUUCCUCUCCAAACACUUGAACACACUCACACACCCAUGUUGAGAAUUUAAUAAUCUUAUGUACUUUGCUUUCUGUCAUCAUAUAUAUGCUUACUCUAUUCUAUUUUUCUUACUGAUAAAUGUUUCUAACAAAAUGUGUGAUCAUCUAUAGUUUAGGAGAUAAUUUCGAUUUUUGCCUUUUUGUUGGUUAGUUGUAGAGAAGAUGCUCACAUUAUUCCUUCUAAGGCCUUAAACUAAGCUUAACUCUUGUCCUGGACUAGUCAAACAUUUGGUCAUCAAGUUAGAUAGGUUCAACCUUGUGUAACCUCCUCAAUUUUUUUUUCUUUUUUUUUAAAAACUUUCAUAUUAGAGAUUAGAUAUUACUAUGCAACUUAUCGAAAAUUUAAGUCUCAGUGAUUUUAAAAAUUUGAUCAACUCCAAAACAGCAUCAUUCAUGCCUAGAUAGGAAAGUCAAUUCUCUGGCUGACCUCCUUUUUAGCUUUUUAAAUAGUGAGCCUAAAUUUGGAAAUUCUCCAGUUUAGAUUAACUCUGUUGCAAGGCUUAAAAAUGACCCUCCAAAUGGUUUCUUAAGGUUGUGAAAGAGUUAAAAAAAUUCAAUUUAUGCUCCACUUGUACAAUUACUUCAGCAUGCUAUUUUGGAAAAAUGAAUGUAGUGAAGGGUGUUAUGAACCAAGAAGCUGCUGCAUCAUCUGAAGAACUCACACAUAAUAUGCACUUUUUUGAAGUUGCAGGAAGCCCUGGUAUCAAAGAGCAAUGGAGGUGACUAGCCUAUGGAAAAGUAUGUCGAAAUCCACAGAAAUUCCGGCAGGCAAUUCCAGCAUAUGGAAGACAGCAUCAUCAAUGCCAAAAUCCCCUCAAGUUCCUACACCAAGUCCUAACAAGAACAAGCUAAGAAAAUGUGCCUCCCUAAAGGUUGCAACAUCCUUCACAAGGGUUUGUCUUUGUGCACCUAUGUAUUCAUAUAAUGAGAUUUUGAGAGCUGAGGUGCCACCUAGAAGAAGCAAUAGUUACCCAAGAUCGAAGCCAUUGCAAAGUGCACAUGAAAGAAGUCCUAGUGCUAGACUUAGCACAGAGGGAAGGAGAGUAUUCCGGGGCAAAUCAUUAACUGAUGAUGUUCUAAUGAGAAGGUUUGUGAUUGAGGAAGAGGCAAUGAUGCAAAUUAGAAGAAGAAAUCAAAUGGAAGUUAUUAGGAAGAGGAGUAUGAUUAGGAGAAAGAAGCUUGGGCCUAGUCCUCUUAGUAGAAUGGUAAUGGCAAAUCAUAAUCAUAUUGGACAAUUUAAUUGAUUGCUCCAAUUCCUGUAGUGUCAAGUCAACUCCAAUCGCUGAAUUUUGUUUUGUUUUUUUUUGCCACUGAACUUUUUCACCUGGUGUCACAAGUUUCUAUAGUUCCACCACUACUGGGGUUAUCUUCUGAUUGCAACAUUUAAUUUUACAUCACCACCCAAUUUUAAGUAUAGCUACCUCAGAAUCACAAAUUUAAUUUCCUUUACAUGUUCAUUCAUAGAUUUAUGUUGGAAAAAUUCUCUUCUCAGUCAAAGUGUGUGUGUGUGUUUGUACUAGUUCAUUUUAACUAACAUUCAAUCAAAAGCUUUGCAAGAGAACUUUUUGAGAGAAAACCAAACCAAACCAUACCAAACGUAUAUCCCAUGUUAACUUCUGAAAUCAACAAACUCAGCCAACUAACUACUAUGUGUAGACUUCUUAAUUUGCUUAUAAGACACUCUAAAAACACAAUUCUUUAAUAAAACUUGAAGAGCAAGGAUAGUGGUUAUCUAAUUUGUAUCUGAAAGGCCAAGUUAGGUUGUUUUACACUAAAUUUAGAAUCGUUAUUUUGGAAGAUUAAGAAGGUGAAGAGUGUUGUUAGUUGGUAACUUACUUGGAAAUAUUUAUGGAAUUUAUGAGAUAUUAUGAAUUGAUCACCAACCGAAUCUUAUUAUCUUAUUAAUGUUAUCGUUAGUGAAAUUAAGUGAACCUAAAUACUUAUGAAUACGGAAUUUGGGUUGGUAUUGAUGGAAAAUAUUAUGUAAAAUAUAAUGGUCCUAGCACUUCCAAAAGAUCAUUUUGUCCUUAGCAUCCUUUUAAAUUUAUUAAUUAAUAUAAAAAAACACCUGGAAGAAUAAUAGGACAUGGGAUGUAAUAAAGUAACAAAUUAAUUGAAUGAAUUUGCAUUUCUUCAACUCUAUAGUUGUAUUCAAGUUAAACAUUUAAUUUUAUCUUCAUAUAAUAGUUUAUUAAAGUAUCUUGAUCAUUGAUGUUUUUUAUACAUUUGUUAUUUGGUUUUAAUUUAUAUGUACAACACAUGAUUAAAUUAAUACAAGAACUGAACUAAAAGUGUGAGAAAAAUGAAAUAAAGAUUGUGAAUAGACACUUAUGCUUCAACUGAAGAUUAAAUAGAAACAGCAUAUGAUGAUGAUGAUGUGAUAGAAGAAAAAUAUUGGUUACCUACCAAGACAUGCUUUAUAAAUUAUUACAAGAUAAGCACUAGUUUCUUCUCUGUCCGAGGAAAUAAUAAACACAACCAUGUUUGAAUUAAGGCAACCAUAAUUAAUAGCCAAAUUUAAAAGUUGUUGCUUGUCUUUAUGAUUAAAUAUGUAAUUGAACAGUGGUGGUUGAAUGUUAAUGUUUUAUAUUCCAACAAUGGUUGAAGUCACAUAAUGUUUUGCAGUUGUCUGAGACGAGAACACAAGUGUGUGGCUACAUGCACAUUAUCUCUACGCACCUUCUAACAGUACCUCUACUGUGUCUGUGGGGUACGUCACUGCAACCACCCACUGCAUUUUUCAUUCACUCAAAACCACGCACUACUUUUCUAACCAAACACAUUAUGCAAAUCAUAUCAAACAUUUCUAAUUAACCAUCAUAAUAUAUAUAUAAUCAAUAAUAUAACUUUAUAACUCAGAAAGUUCAAAAUUAAUAUAAUAAUAAAUCAUUUUUUAUGAUAUUUCACUUUUUAAAAGCUGCCUAAAGGCUGUAAAUUUUCUAGACACGUGUGUCAUUGAAAACUCCAAACUCUCUAAUUGAUUUGAUUCCACUUCUUAGGAUAGAAGAGAGCUUUCGUUUGCUUUAUUUUUUUUAUAAAAAGAAUUGAUAAAAUAGAGAAAAAAAAUUAUUAUUAUCAUUAUUGGCUGGAAAUAAUUUCAUGAGCAGAUGGGGAGAUGCAUUUUUGUGAUAUUCAAGUAUCGAAUAAAGGUUUAUGAGUACAUUUUAAUAAGAACAUAAAUGAUAAUAUUACUAUUAUGACGAUGAUUGGAUUGAGGAUAAUUAAAUAAAUGCGUUUUUUAAAUAUUGUAGGUAAAGUUGUACAACAAUAUCUAAAGUAAAAGUUUUUAUAUAAAAAAAAUAAUGUAUGUAAAAUUUAUGUCUAUAAGUAAAUAAUUAAUUUUUCUUUAUAAGGAUAAAUGAGUUUUACAUGGAGGUUGACUUCUUAAGAGUUGAGUUAUGUAUGCUAAAUCUUCUAGUGUCAGGUUUUAUCACUAUGCAGAUUUUUAAAAACUCAAGUGAUGUGUUUAAGUGAAAUCACUUUGUCUUUUUAUUAUUUAAUUAAUCAUACAUAUGUACAUUUAUGAGCAUAUUGUGAAGCAUGUCAUUAAUGUUCUUAAUAAGGGGUUUCACAAUUCUCAAAAUGUUUUUACAUUUUGUUGUGACUUUCACUUUUCAUUUUCAAUACAUGACAUUGAGGGAAAAUGCAUUAUUUUGCGUGAAGUAAAUUAAUGUUUUCCUUUUAAAGAAGUUUGUUUACUCCUUUUGACAUUUUGCAUGUUUAAAUCUUACAAGAGCAACACCUUCAAGAGCCUUCUUUAUGGGAAUUCACUUAGGUUCAUAAAGAUAUCACAGAAAGGACACUACAACUUAUAAGUCCCAUAGGUGCAACAAAAGAUUCAAAUAAACUAAGCUUUCAAGAAUGGUGUUCUUGGUUGGUCUUUGGUUUCUUUCUAGGUUGAAUGUGGUUCUGUCAUGGGUUGAUUUUUGGUUGAAUCAAGGGCUAAGAUCUUGUAUAAAGGUUGUGGAACUUAUGUGAAUGAAAGGGUAGUGAUUAUCAAUUUCCUUUCUUUGGUUUCUUUACUUAAGGAGAAAAGUUGGUGAUAUUUCUUGAAGGUGUGGCCACUAGUGUGAACAAGAUGGUUCGGAGUUUGUUUUUUAUGAUUUUGUAAGCUUGUUUCGUCUUACCUUUUUAGAUCAAUUAUGAGACAAUGCAAUUGUCUCUCAUAUAUUUUUUGCGCUUGUCAUAACAUGAACUUUAGAUAUUUCUUCUUCAGAGAGAGUGCACAAGAGGAUAUGUCUAACUUUGGUGUUGAGUUAGUGUAAUGCCUUUUCUUUCUCAUUCCAUGAUUCCUAUUCAGUAAAUUUUUCAGAGGAAUUAAGAAUAGGAGAGAUAUGUUUUUUACACAACAGUCAGAAGAUCCACGUUGUUGAAGGAAGGAUGCCAUCCUUAACUUUCAUAUAUCAUAUUCUUUCCCUUGAACAUCCUUAACUUUCACAGUCAUCUCAAGCAACCUGCUUAAGAGCCUUUACUGUCACAAGUAUUUGAAACCUCUCUAGGCAAGAUUUAUGCAUCUCUUCAAGUAUAUGUAUUCUACACCUCUCUAGGUACAAGUAUUCUACACCUCUCCAGGUACAACCAUUCUACUUAUCUCCAGGCAACUAGUCUCAAUCUCCCACUGAGAUCAAUACCUCUCAACAAGUGAUAAACACUCUCAAAUUGAGAGCAACAAUGAAAGUGCACAAGAUUAUCUUCACACAGUGAAGGAUUUACAAUAUAUGACUCACUCCCCAAACAAUGAGUGCUCCAAACAACAAGUAUCAAAUACAAUAAUAGUAAAACCAUUGACACUAAGAAUAUGAUCCCAUUAUGUAAGCUUGGUAUUGUGUGUUGUCUUCUUCAUUUUCAAGGUCUUUAUAUAGUGUUUAGAUUAUGAUAGUUGAAAUUUUGAUUUCUUCUAUAGGCUAAGAAUGAAAACUCUUGCUCUAAUUAAGUAUUCUGCGUUUUGAUCAUGUGAGACAAUUACAAAUGUUUCUAUUCAUACCUCAAUUAUGAACAUUGUUGCAUUAAGUCUCUUUACUCAAAUAUCUAAUGUAAUAAACCACGUUGUUUUUUGUCUUCAAUGCCCUAGACACUCAUUAUGGAAGCUUUUGCUUUGAUAGAAUUUGUGUGUCUUCAAUGUGUAUUCACUCCUUUGAAUGCUUGUAUCAACCUUGAAUUAUUUUAUUCUUUUGUUCCAAAUGUGAUCGUUGAUACUUUAAUGCUUUACCCUAAUCAUAUCUUUCAUUUAAUGAUAUUGUUCGUCAUCUUCUUUUCCUUAGACGUUGAAUGUAACAACUUCUGCUUUGAUCAAAAUCCGCGUGUAAACAAUUUGAAAAUGUUUCCUUUUAAUUCUUGAUGUGAACGUUGAGCCUUUAAUUCUUUUUAAAUGAUCUCUUCAUUUAUCUUUGCAACGUUGUUCUCUUUGAAUAUAGUAGACGCUGGGUUAGGAAAUGUUUCCUUUGAAGUAAUGUUCGCGUCUUCAUCACAUAUUUUGUUGAUGCUCUUUGAAUUAUUUCCUUUCUUGUGAUUUGUUUGAAUGUUGAUGUAUAUAUAUGGAAUGAUCUUGAAUCACGUUCUUCACUUUGUCACUUUGUCGUUAGACGCUAAGUAUGGAAAGUUCUGAUAUACAUCUUAAUGCAUGUUUCUCACUUGAUGAUUCUCUUAAAUAUAUUCUUCUAUAUACAUAUUCUUCUUCUUCAUUGAUUGCAAAAGCUUUGUGAAACUUUAAAUUCUUCGCGCAAAUCUCACUUUACAACAACUUCGUUUUCCCGUUAGACGCUAUUUAAAGAAACUUUGUACUUGUUCUCUUUUGCGUCUUUAUGUUCUUAAAACACAUUUAGAAACCUUUCAUGAAUAACAAUGAUUAUCAUAAUCAACAUUACAAAGCAUGGGUAUCACUGAAACAAAAUCUUUCAAUAUCUUUUGAAUUAUCAAGACCUUCCAAUCUCAGAUAUUAAUUCAAAACAUAUUAUCAAUAUAUUCUGGAUUUAUACUUGGAAUAAAUCUUAAUAAACAUAAUUUAUUUUUAAUAUAUUCCAUAAACCAUACUUCAAAAAAUAUUUUACCGUGUGAGAUACAUGUGUUUUGUUUUAUAUUCUUCAUUGUAAAGCAUUCUAUACUUGGCUUUAAGCACUGUGUUUUGAUAUAAUCUUAAUUUAUAUGGAUUCACAUAAUCAAAACGAGUUUCGAGAACAUUUGAUAAUUAUUCAAACAUUUAUAGAAUAAAAAUAUUAAUCUUGGAAACUUUCCUGUCAAAUGAUCGUUGUCUGCCAUGUUGACUUGAUCAUCGUCUAACGUGUUCAUGGCUUUCAACGUUUAGCAUUUGAGUGUAAUUUUCUCUAACGUUGUAUUGAGCUUGGUCCAUUGAGUUCUUCUAUAGACAUCUUCUAACGAGUUACUUGAAUUGACAUGCGUUGUGAGACCUUCGUAUAACUUUUUCACAUUUGAACAUCAUCUAACGAGUUAUUAUUGUUGGCCUUGCAAGCCAUGAGUAGGAGUUUUGGUUCAUUUAAUUUUUCAUGUUUAGUGAAGAUAUAAUCUAUCACUUCUUCAUAUUGACAUUGUCUAGUGCUUUCAGUGAAGUCAAAACUUCUUUGUUUUUUUAGCGCAUCGUCUGACGAGUUACUUCAUCUUUCUUCUUAAAAAGUGUACUUGUGAUUUUGUUAUGCUUUGCCGAUCUAGUAAGUUUUGCACUCUUAAUAUUGUUGAUAGAAAUCAUAACACAUCUUUUUAAUUUUAUGUUAUCAUCAAAACAUACUUAGAGUCUCUUAUCAUAAGAUUGUCCAAUGAGUCAAGGAAUCAUCUAAAACUAAUUGGAUCGUCUAGUAUCUUAACACUCUUCUACUUUGUGUUUUUCAUCCUUCAUACAUGAAAAACUAAUUCUUGAAAGAUUAAUUCAUUAAAUCAAGGAUAAAAAAAAUGUGAAUUGAGUUUUGUACCAAUUAUUUAACGCUCUGAGCUUGUUUUGUCUUGGAUUUGUAUUUUAUGAUAUUAAUUUCCAUUUGUGUUUAGAAAUCAAAUUGGGAAUUAAUUAAAUAUUAAUUUGAUAACUAAAAAUAUAUUAGAUCGAAUUAUAUUUUAAUUUGAUUCAUAUUUUCUAGUUUAAUGACAUUUCUUAUAUUGAAUUGAUUAAAUCAGACACUUAAUUGUUCAAAAUUGGAUAUGAUUAUUUAGAGAAUUAUGAUAAGAGAAAUUGUAUGGAUCUUGAAUCUAUGAAUUGACAUUUCAUCUUCUUGUAUUUCAUUUUUCAAUUUUGUUUGUUUUCAAUCCCUAAACCCCUAAAUUAAUUUGUACAUGAAUAAUAUUAAAUAUUGAAUACAAUCAAUGUGUCCUCUGAAAAUCAAUAUAAGCUGUGCUCUAUAUUACAAAUUUUUAAAGAAAAAGUAUUAAUUUUAUUUUAAAAAAAUAUAGUUAAUUCGAUAAAUUUGUGUAUAUUGUAAAAAGUGAAUAUAAAUUUUUCUCAACUAUGGGCAUAUAUACUUUUUCACGUUCAAUAUUGUCAAGCGUCUAAAGCAAUAGGUGAAUUGGCUCCAUUUCAACUUAAUACUUAAUAUUGUUUAACUUGACCAUAUACAUCUUUAUUAUUGAAAGUAUUUUUCAUUGAACUCAAAAUUAACACUACAAGGAAAAACAUGAAAUAGAAACCAAUUUUAGAUAAAAAAAAUAAUUAAUUGUUAUAUAAUUAAAUUAGAGAACAUUUUAGAAACUAAAAAAAAUUGGUUUCUAAAUUAGUUUCUAUUAUUGUUAAAUGGUUUCUAAAUUGAUAUUUAAUUAGCUACCAAGGUUUUAACUACUAAUUAUUUAUAUUCUAAAUUUGGUAGCAAAAACUUUGGUUGCUAAUUAGAUACCAAUUUAGAAAACAUUUAACAAUAAUAGAAACUAAUUUAAAAACCAUUUUUUUUAAUCUUUAAAAUGAUCUCUAAUUUAGUCACUAUAGCAACUAAUUAGUUUUGAUCUAUAAAAUUGGUUUUUAUUUCAUAAUUUUCUUGUAGUGUAACCAUGGAUAAUAGAUUAGUUUAACAACUAUUUGCUAUUGUUUUUAUUAGCUAAUCAUAUAUUAUUAUUAUUGAGGUUUAAUAUUUUCGUAGGUCCAUAAUUUUGAAAUUUAUUAAUUAGGUAUCCACACUAAGAAAUUCUCAAUCUUCUAUAAUUUGUUAAUUGGAUUCUUAAAAUAAUAAUACUGUUUCAAUUUUUUAUUGCUUCAAUCAAGCAUAAACUAAUUUCAGACACCCAAUAACAAAAAUUGAAAAAAAAAAAAUUAAGGAUGCAAAUCACAAAAGAAUGGUUCUAGAAACUUAUUAAUUUUUAAAAAAAGUUGAAAGAUGAUAACCCUAUUGUUUAAUAUUGAGAUUGAUAAACUAGCAUUGAUUAAUCCUUCCUUAUAAUAGUAUUAUGUGAUGUGAUAAAGAUGGAGCAUUGAAUGGUGGGAAAACAGAAUAUAGUAUACGUGGCCCCAAGCCAAGAAUUUUCCACACGGUUCUUUUGGGUUUAUACUAACCCUGCCCUAGUUCAAACCAAAUCAUUACCCUCCCUUUUCUCCCUUUCUUCAAUUCCUCCAACAUGACUCCACAAAUUCACUGCUUCAUGUAUUCUUAGAUAAUUAAGAAGGUUAGAGAAGAUAUUAACAAAAUUUCCACUAAUUUUGAUUAAGUAGUCAUAAAUAAGUGCUAAACUAUGAAUUAAUAUUAAUAGUGCGAUGAUAUGUAUGUGUGUCAUGAGUACGUGGAUGAGUCUACACACUCUCUGCACUUAUGAAGAUGUGUGUGUAUGUUUUUGUGUGUGAUGCGAGGAAAGGAGGGGGUGUGAGUGUGUGUAAGAAUGUAUGAGUGUGAGUAUGUGUGUGUGGAUGAGUGUAUGAGUGUGUGUUUGUAUGUCCGCGUGUUGUGUCUGAUAAAGUUUAUGUUUGAGAUAAAUAAUAAUAUAAGUGUUUCAAAAGUUUACAUAAUACUAUUUGUAGAUAUUUUUAGUAUCUUUGUAAAGAAUGUUCUCUCAUUUGACUACCAAAAUGAUCUCUCAAAGAUUGUCAACAUUAGAAGAUCUUGAGAAGUGUGUCGAAUUUUUUUUAUGCAAACAACUUCAUUAAAAUGAGAGUUUAUCAUCGUUGCAUAGUUCAUUCGCUUUGUAUGAUCUUGACUUUUACUCUAUUAAGAUAAAAGGAGUUUAACGUAAUCUUGAUAAGCUAUGUUAAGUAUCAGAACGUUCCUUCAAAACAUUCCUUCAAAUAGAAGUAUGUAUUUAAGUGUUACAUGGAGAGAAUUCAACAAAAUCCUCAACAUUUAUAAGAACAAAUACAAUAAAAAAAGACUUCUCUUUGUUUCAAACAACUAUCAAAGGAUUGCCACAACUCUUUUUUUCACCCCUCUCUAUAUAAAAUAUAUCUUUGAAGAAGAAAGCCGACGAACUUACAAAGUUAUGGACAAUUGUAAGUUGAAAUCUUAAGAUUGCAAGCAUAACUCGUUGAUAGAGCAUUAUUAUGUUCUUUAGCAACCUAGAAGAUUGAACUUCAUCUUGUAUGUUAUAAGACGUAACACCUUUUUUAGUGAACAAUCUUGUGGUGCAAUCAGAUAUUUUUCUAACCAACCAAGUGUCUUAGCUAGAGGUGAAUAUGUUCCAAUUAGUUGUUUAAUCAGAAGUGACUACAUUUCAAACAAUACUUAGUUUUAGCUAUGAGUUAUUGUAUUCCAAACAACACACAAUUAUUUAGUGAAAAGUGAUUGUAAUCCUAAUAAUAUUCAAUUUUAAUUAAGAGUGAUUUCAUUCCUCGGAUUCCAAAUAAUAUUUGAUUGUUUAAAAAAAAACAUUUCAAUUCACUGCACACAAUUUACAGGGUUAAACACGUUGCUGAAAAGUUGAAGGUAUGAACGACAAAUAUUUAUGAAAAAACUUAAGCAAUCAUCAAAGAAAGAAUAUUUUUAAGGUGGUCCAUCCUGCAUCAGUUGAUAGUUAAAUGACCUUUCCCCUUUUAAAAUCUACCUGCCUCCUCUGGUUUUGACUGUAGCCAAACCAAGACUUUUCAAAAGAUUAACGUGGCCUUUAGUUCUUAAGAUUACAGAUUUUCAACAAAACACCAAGUAGUUAAGGUUUGCCAAAACAAACACGUAACCAAACUUAAUUAGAAUCACGAUGAUUUGGAUAAUUUAUUUUUUGUUAACCACGGCACUGAACUGUAUCAUCAUCAUCAUCAUGAAGGGAAGAACAUAAAUUACAGCGCAAGAUUAAAAGAAAAAUUGUGUUUUUCUUAUUCAUGACGCUGCCAUAUUUCAUGGAAAAUGUUACAAAUCAAGCACUCAAAUAAUAAUAAUAUGCGACAAGAUAGAACCUUUCAGUGGUUCUUGAGAUGCAAUGGAAAGCUAAAAAAUCCCCUUUUUCCAAUUUCUUCUAUUUCAACGGAUAUAUCCUUCUAUUAUGCAUUCAGAGACUAAGUAUGCACGUGUUUGCAAAAGUAGGCGCGUGUGUUUGAGUCUCCAAAGAAGCGUGGUGUGGAUGAACAGGUACAUGGCAGGGCCAUAAAUAAAAGUCCAUGCUUUUUAAUUUGUUAUGCAGUAUUUUUGUCAGAUCUAAAAAUAACAGUGGAGAUGAAAAUGUUGGUAAGGUGGCAAUAAUGAAAGUUAUAAUAGAAUUAAUAAGGAAGAGGAAAUAAAGAGCAUGGUACCAAACUCAACCGUUUAUAAUAAGUGGCAUGUAAUUCUUUUGUAGGUGUCCACAUAGUCUUCUCAUUGAAGUAAAGUUGGUUGAAGUUGUCCACAUUGAGUGAGAAAGUGGCCAACCAGCCCUUCUUUCUCCUUCUCUCAUCAUCAUGCAUCAUGGAACCAUAAGAAAAAAAAAUUAAUUAUAAAUCCCACAAAACAUAGAAAAUUAUAAAUCCCACAAAAGGUGAAAGGUGGCUUGAGGAAAAGUAACUUCACACAACACAGCCUAAGGGAAUUGGAUUCUAAGCUCUAGAGAGAGAUAUAUUUGAUCCAAGUAGCAAGAAUCAUGUGGUGCUGGAAAGGGGAGGGAGGCUAGAAAAAGAGGUAGAUAGAGGGUACCCUCUUCUUUGCACUGUUCUGUGCCUGUUACACCACUUUUUGGAGUUCUUCUAGCAACCUCUGCCAACACAAACAAGGUAUCUUCUCUAUGAUCCUUGUGUUUUGUGUUUUGUUUUAUUAAUAGGUUUUGGGGUUGUGCUAAAUUUGUUAGUUAUUAUGGUUAUCUUAUAAAUCUUAAGGGCAUGGACUUGUCUGACUCAUGAUUCUUCCUUUUGCUUCUUAAUUUUCAUCAACAUGGCAUUAACUAACCUGGCCUCGGGAUCCUCCUGCCAUAAUCUCCACUAUAGAGCCUGUCAGAAGGUUAUCUUUUCUCGUUUUUGUUGAAACUGUAGGAGAACAACUCAGUUCCUCUCUGUCAUGUUCACAACUUGGUCUUUCUUUCUUCUUCUUCUUCUUCGGAAUUGACUAAGCUUUCAUUUCACAAAUCAUGUAGGAUUUUCUUUCUACUCAAUUUUCCUUGGUGCCUAGAAAAGAAUUCUCUUUCCUCUUUUGUUUUGGCGUUUAAUUUUGACAAUUCCGCUUUCUUUUUGCUUUCAUUUUUUUCAGUUCAAAGUUUCGUUCUUUUUCUCACCUUAGAUUAUACUGAUAUGAACUCAUGUCCUCCUCAUAUACUCCAUACUCUUUCUAUGUGUACCUUCAAUGAUAUAGUCAUGUACCCUUAGAUUGGUGUGUUUGUUUCACGAGUGUCCAGUUAAAAACUAUACCGUUUUCUUCUUCUUGCGUCCGCUGCAUAAAGGGGCUUUUUCAUUUAAUUUCGUUUGUUGUUUAUUAAUUCAAUUAUCUUUUUUGCCAUCAACAGCCUGAAAAUAAAAUAGAGAUGCUGUCUCCUUGCUGGGGAUCGUUCUGGUGGGCUUUACUCUCCAUAAAUUUCUUCCCUUGGUAAAGGAGAAAUAUAAUAUGUACCAAAAUUAUGAUAAGAAAACAUGAUAUUGCCAUUCCAUAUAGAUUGCUAUAUAUAGCCUUAGAUGAUGUUGUCACAGAAGAAUGAAUUAUGCGUGGGUAUAGUUGAAAUGAAUCUCUUUGUUAUCUUGUAUUCUAGUCCUCGUAUGUCUCUUCUCUUUUUUGUUAUGAGAAUCAUGUACACCUACAUGAACGGUUUUGAUUUUACAAGUUCUUAAUUCAUCUUAUAUUUGAAGCUAGCUGAAAAUUUUAUUAAUUCUAUAAUAGCACCAGCAUGCACAGGACGUGAUCUUUUGCCUUCAUUUUCUGUUUCAGGAAGAGACAGUAAUGCUACUGAUAUGGGAAAGAAGGGGAGUUGGUUUUCUGCAAUCAAGAGGGUUUUCACUCACCACUCCAAGGGGAAAGUAAGUAAUAUAAAUGAAAUGCUUGAUUGAAUUUUGUACGCUGUUCUUGCUUGUUGCUAUAUUUGGCAUCUCCAAUAGAUGACAAAAAGAUUAGCCAUUUGAGACUGGAAUUACAAUGAAUAAUUUGCAGUUAGUGAAUUAGGUUCCUCCAUGACCACUAAUGGAUAAUUUAAUAUUUUGCAAAGUGAUCUAGGAGGUUGUUUGCCUUUCAUUCCAGCAUGUUACAUCAUAUUGCUGUUUUAUUCAUUAAAAGCAAAACUACUUGAUGGUGGUUAUUUCUUUAUUUGAAAGUCAAUUUUUGUAGCAUGUUUUGUUACCAAUAUGUCUGACCAUCUUGUAUAAUACAGCCGGAUGCAGAUAACAAAGGCACAAAAGAAAAGAAGAAAAGUCUAGGAAAAGUAAAGCAUGGAGAGACCAAUUCAUUCAUCCCCCUCUUCAGAGAGCCAAGUAGCAUUGAGAAAAUCUUUGGGGACUUUGAAAGGGAGCAACAACUACUGGGGUUAAGGCCUGCCACUCCUCCUGAGAGACCCAAAACUCCACCUUAUGUCCCUCCAAGAGCUCCUUCUCCUAGGCCUCCUUCUCCAAGGGCUCCUUCUCCAAGGCCUCCAUCUCCAAGGGCUGCUUCUCCCAGGGCUUCUUCGCCACGAGUUACCAGUACCUCUCCCAAAGCUGCAUCUUUCCGGAUUUCUCAUCACCACAAGGAGGUUGGCUACAGACCAGAACCAACUUUGAGGCACCAGAAUGCCUCAGCUACUAAGAUCCAGGCUGUUUAUAGAGGUUAUAUGGUAAGCUUUCAUGUGUUCUGAAUGCCAUAACUAGAACUUUGACUUUGUUAAUGUGUGUCUCCUUAGGUCUAUGUUUAUGAAUUAAAGUAGAUAUACUGGUUACAAAUAAAAUAUGAAAAUAUUUUAUCAAAACUUGUUAUUGAUGCAUUCCACCAUAACUACAAGUUAGGCUUUGUAAAUGUGUAUCUCCAAAGCAUUUAAUACUUUCUCCCUUAAGUAAUUAGGAUGAUGCUGUAAGGGGUAGGUAAUGGAUGCUUCUCAUUUAUGCUAGAAAAGCAAAAAUACGUAAACAAAAAUCACAGAACUCAAGGGUACAUGAUGAACCCAAUGUCUAUUAUUUCUUUAGGUUCAUAUCAUAAAAAUGAGAAAUAUUAAGUGGAAACUCUAUAACAUGCUUUCUUUCAAACACAUUUCUUACUAUUAUUUGAAAUUUAUGGUGACUAGAAAGUGAUAUGGAUCAUGUUCCCUACUUAAUUAGUCUUGGACAAUAAUAAAAGAUGUGUUGGUAGUAUUCCUUGAAAAAAUUCAUGUUUCUGACAGUGCAGAAGAAUAAAUAAAUAAUAUAGUUAAUUAUUCUUCAUUUAAAUGCACAAUAUUCACAGUUAAAAUGGAAUAUAAAAGCACAUCAUGUUGUGUAAUUAUUUUCUGGCAAAACCAAAUUUCGCCAUGUCUUUCGUGUCAAGCUUGAAAAUUAUGUGCAUAAAUAGGCUGAUUACUGUGCUAACUUUGAGAGAAUGAAUGGGCUAAUGAAUUAAAAUUGAGUCAGCAGUUGCAUGAAGAAUGCUCCUCCUUGAUCCAAUAGUUUUAACUGUUUUUUAAUUUUAUUAUGAAAAAAAAAAGAUCAACCUUGUGACACGUUAUACUUGCAAUGCAAUGCAGGGAAGGAGGAGUUUUAGAGCACUAAAGGGUCUGGUGAGGCUCCAAGGAGUAGUAAGAGGACAGAAUGUGAAGAGGCAGACAGUAAAUGCCAUGAAGCACAUGCAACUGUUAGUGCGAGUUCAAUCUCAGAUUCAGUCUCGAAGGAUCCAGAUGUUGGAAAACCAGGCACGAUAUCAAGCUGAGUUCAAGAAUGAUAAGGAAGCAGCCAGUAUCUUGGGAAAACUCACUGUAAGCCUCUCUAACUUGAGCAUGCAAUUUUUUUGAGAACAUGGGAAAAUGGAUAAAUGCGCGUUGCUUGUGUUGAUAAAGAAAAAGUUCAAUUGCUAGCUGCUAAGUAACAGGAACUAACUAUGGCUUAAGUGUCAAGAUCUAGAACUCAUGGUUGCUCAACCCAUUAUAGAUGUCAACUACUCUUUGCUAAUUUAUGCACUUCAAUAUUAAAAGGCUAAAAAUGCCCUUCACUUUGUAGAGUUGCCUUAAUGGCAAAGUUGUAUUUGAUCUCAAAAGUCCUUGCAAUCCCUGCAAUGUACUUUACCAGCUAUUGUUAGGCCUCCUAACACCUUUAAAUUUAAUGACUAGCUGAGCCAUUGGGUGGGUUACACAAUUAUGCCCUACUUCAUUUGUAACCAGGUAAAAAUUUUAAAAUUGUCAAGUUGUAUGUGGCAAAUUAUAGCUGUUGCAUAAUUCCUAAUCCUAGGAGCAAACAAUCUCAAGUUCCAACUUUAUCUUUUCAACUAUAGAGGUUCAUACUCUUCCUUGUGACAUCUAUCAAGGUAGAUAUGAAGUUAGUGACUUAGUAUGAUUUUAAUCAAUAUAACUUGAAAAAAUGUGGUGGAUUCUAAUCUAGUAUACCUUUUAUUUUAAAAUGUGUACUUGCAUGUAUUUCCAACUGCGUUCAUUUUUAUGUAAAUCAAAUCAAGUGAUUUUAAUAAUUUGGAUUUUUGGGUGUAGUCUGAAGCAGGUAAUGAAGAGUGGGAUGAUAGCUUACUGACCAAAGAGGAAGUAGAGGCAAGGUUGCAGAGGAAGGUGGAAGCAAUCAUCAAAAGAGAAAGAGCAAUGGCAUUUGCAUAUUCCCAUCAGGUACUCAUGAUGAGAACCUACUACACGUUCCAUUUAUGCUUUGCUAUUUUGAUUUCUUUGAAAGUAAAAGGAGAAUUAAUUCUCCAAACAAAAAUGGCAUUUUGUGCAUUACUUCUAUUAUUUUCUUUGUCCAAUUUUGAAUGGGAUCACGUAUUCUAUUAAUUGCUUAAUUCUUCAAAAGUAGCAUUUUAAAAGUAAACGCUUGUUUGGAAACUUCACAUUUGAGAUGAGAGUUGUAACCAUUAGUUUCUUAAAAUCACAUCCAAGACUUGGAACCAAAUACACUUAAGGACAGCAUAGUUGACUUUGUGUUUCCUUUGGAAUAAUAAAAUCUCUAAAUGUUAUAACUUUGUUGACUCUGCCAAACAGCUAUGGAAAGCCACUCCAAAAUCAAGUCACACCCCAGUGACAGAUGCACGAUCAGGUGGAUUUCCUUGGUGGUGGAACUGGUUGGAAAGACAAGCACCUGCAGCAGCAGCAACUCCACAAGAAAGACAAGUGCUGAAGAAUUUUCAACUCACACCUCCAAGACCAUACUCAGAGCAAAAGACUAGUCCAAGACCCGGAUCCAGCACUCAAAGACAACAGCAGUCUCAUUUUGCCUUUGAUAACAUGGACACUCCCACACCAAAGUCCACAAAAUCAACCAUAGUGACAUCUUCAAAACCGGUACGAACACCUCCAUAUAGAACUCCUCAGGCAAACAGUUCAGGCUCUGGGUCUAAAUAUCUGAGACCAAGGGGUGUGGGAGCCAAUAUACCUUUUGAUGUGCCACUGAAGGAUGAUGACAGUCUCACAAGCUGCCCACCAUUUUCAGUGCCAAACUACAUGGCUCCAACCCUCUCUGCCAAGGCCAAAGUACGUGCUAGUAGUAAUCCUAGAGAAAGGCUUGGUGGGACUCCAACAAGUACUGAUUCAAAGAGGAGACUCUCAUUCCCAUUGUCACAAGGAAUAGGGUCUUUCAAGUGGUCUAAAGGGUUCUCAAGCAAGGAUCAAAGGGUGCCAGAUAAAUUUCAGCCACUUGAAUCUAUAGGGAACGUGAGUGUGGAUUCAACAGUGUCUUUGCCCGCAAGGGUGGGAAGAAAGCCGUUUACAAGAUUUGUGUGAUUUUUUUUUGUUUUAUUCUUUUUUAACCAUUUUAUUUUGUCCAUGUUGGUGGUGUUAUCAGUUACAUUAUGAUUAUGAUUUGAGUGUAUUGGUGAUAGUUUGAUGACAGGUAUACCCGUUGUAAACUAAUAAAAACAUAGGAAACCGUGGUUUGGUAACUUUAAAUUUUCUUUUCUGGUUUCUCUUUUGUUGGGUGCAGCUGAAAUCAAACUACAAAGAGACUAUAAUUAAAUACUAUUAACAAAAAAACAGGUUUAGAGCAUCUGCAAGAAGAGGCUGAUUGAAGAUCCAACGGACGAGAAGCAAUCCUAUUUGAAACUCUCCUCGCUAGCAUUCAAUUUCUUGGACCUAGAAUUUCAUCUACUUCUUUCAAUUUAUUUGUAUCAAGCAUUCCUAACUGAUGAUGAAUACAAAAAGUCAUAUGAGUCUUCUUUUUUAUCCAUGUAGGAAUUUAACAUGUGUGUCAGACUUACAUUAACUCAUACAUUUUGUUCAACUCACUGAACUAGACUCUUGAUAUAAAUGUCCAUUUAUAUGCAAACUUGCAUGUUGAUCUAUUCAAAGACAUUAAUAUAUUCCAAUUUUUAUUUGUUUUUUUUAGUAUAAUAAUAUUAAUGGAAAAAGAUAAUGUUGGAACAUCAUUGGUAGAAGCCAAAAGCACCUCUUGGGAGAAAUAGAUGCAGCCAAAUCGUAUUAGGUAAGCAACAGAGAUAAAAGAUGCUAAUACAUGUGGAGACACAUUAACAGUGUUCACAUGGGCUAAGGAAAAAUUUCAACAAAGUGGUUCAAGUCUCUGCAGUGAAAGACAAUGAGUGAUAAGUCUGGACCACUGUGGACAGUCCUGAAGCGGUUAACUAGACAGGAUUCAGAUUCGAUAUCAAGAAAGGUUGUGAAGUGCUGAAUCAUAAGGUUCAUAGCAAAGGUGGUUUGCGUAAUAAAAGGAGGCAGGGACAACAAUUUUUAAAAAGAGAAGAUUAACAAACCCUCCAAAAACUCAAGAACGAAUUACAUUUGACAAUCUCUGCAGUGCAGAAAGUCCCUUUAUCAUUUCCCUUAAGAGCUGCAGUAGCACAAAAGAAUCCAGAAGCUGAUAAAGAGUUGCUGGAUGCUAUAAAACAGAUUCCAAAGUAUGAAAUUAAAUGCUUUAUUGGAUCUUGGAACGUCUAUAGAUGUAAUGUGAUCAAUAGUUUACAAAGCACUUAAUCUGGGAGAUUUAAAACCCACAAAUGUGAUAGUACAACUUGCAAACAAAAGCAGUGCUCAACCUUUGAAGAUGUCUUGUAGAAGGUUAACUAGUUGAUUUUUCCAGCUGAUUUUUACAUUCUGGAUAUGCAAGAAGAAAGCUCCACACAAAGUCAACACUAAUUCUAGGAAGAGUAUUCUUAGUGACUGCGAAAAUGAAGAUCGAUGUUUACAGAGGCACAAUAUCUUUAGAAUUUGGGGAUGAUUUAAUUCAGUCCAGUGAAAAAAUAUUGAUUAUGAUGAAGCCGGUUGCACUUGAGAUGAUUAUUCAUGUGUUGUAUGAACAAAAAUUAAUGUUGUUUUAAAUAUCAAUCCUAAUCAUCUGAUAACUUUCCAUCAUCAGAAACCCAUAUAAUCUUUUGAGAUUGAACAAAUAUAAAAGUCAAACACUAUUAUUUAGGUGAAUUCAUCAUAAAAGGAAAAUGAUGGUUUGACACCCAUUACUCCACUUUACAUCCCACUAAAUAUUAAUAUUUUAAUUAUUUUUAAUUUUAAAAAUUAUUUUAACAUUUUAUAUUUUGUCUAAUAUUUCAGACAUUUUCUUCGCAAAAUGAGUCCCCUUUAGAGCAGCUUGGGAUCUUUUCGUUUCAGUUUUGGUUGUGAAGAAAAAGGAUGAGAGAGAAAAGGUUUGGGGUGCUGACAGUGAUAAUGGGGGUUGGAGAGAAAAAGAGUGAAAGUGGGCUAAGAGGUGCAGUGAGUAAGAAUAUGGGUGUGAGAUGGAAAAUAGUUAAGGUGGGCUAAGAGGGACAAUAAUGAAGGUGGGCUGAGAGGUAAAAAAGAAAAAUAGAGGUGUGAAGAAGGUAAAAAAGUUCUCCUCAACAUUGCAUGCAAGGAUUACUCCUUUCCUGUACCAACUACAUCAUAUCUAGCAACACAUAAAGCUUUGUCAAAUCACGAUUUUUCAUUAAAAAGUUACAUAUAACUUUUUAAAAAUUAACUUUUAAUUAUCAAAAUACAAUUUAAAUAAACUAUAAGAAAUUAUACUUAAUUUAUGUAACUACAUUUUACAUUAUAUAAAAUUGUAGAAUUUGAAAAUAUAAUAAAGAUUUUAAAGAUAUUUAAAUAAUGAUUAUUUAAUUUUAAUAUUUUAAUAAAAGCAAUCAUUUAAAUUUCUGUGUCCCAAAUCCCAAUGAUUAUAAAUAUAAUACUAAAAUAAUAUGUUAAAUAAAAGAUAUUAUAUAAAUUAGUAUUAACAAAAUUAUACAGUAUUUAUAGUUUAUUUAUAUAAGUUACUUUCUCUUAAAAUUAUAUAAAUUUUAUAAAACUAAUAUUAUGAUUGUUUUAUAUAUUAAAUAAUAAAAUUUUAAUUUUAAAUAUUUUAUUACCAAUAUAAUUUAGCUCUACGUGUCAAAAUAUAUAAUUACUCUAUCUUAUUAAAUUUAAUUCGCCUUUUUUUAUAUAUACUACAACGAAACAAGUUAACGGUUUCAUAUUAAAUUAGCAUAAUAAAUAAUAAGUUAUGAUAAUAUAAAAUAAUUAUUCUAUCCUAUUUCCAUUUUGAAAGGAAAAAAAAAAUUGAGAGACUAUAAGGUGAUUUUCACUAAAGAUGAAUGCAAAUUCAAAUUUGCAUCUUAGGUCAAAUAGAUUUUUUUAGAUCAUAAAUGUUAACCAUUCAAAAUUGUGUAACCGUCCAAUAAAAAUCUUGGCAAAUAAGUCUAUUCCCAAUGAAACGUGUUAUUAUAAUAUUAUUAUAAUAAAAACAUUGCUUUGAAUUUAGUAUAAUGUUUUUCAUGCGCUACUAAUUAACUUUAUAUAAAUUAAUGUCACUUUUUUCUUUUUCUUCUUCAUUAAAAGUAAUGCCCACCACAUCACUUGUGUUUUAUAAUGACUAUAUUGACACGUCAUUAAAACAGUGACAACAUAUCAUAAAGUUUUUUGCACUAUUAACAAAUUAUGAAUUAGUAUAAGGCAUAUUUUCCAAAGCAAGUAUUACGAAGCUAUAAAAAAGUGAAUAUUAGAAAAACUAAUAAUAUUACCAUUAUAAUAUAUGGUUGAAUAAAUGUGUAAAAAGAAUAUCAUAAUUAACUUUAAAGUCAAAGUUAUAAAUAUAUUUUGAGUAUAAUUUUUAAAAAAUAAUACAAAAUCUCUACUUCAAUAUUUUUUUUAUAAAACUCAAUUAACUAAUUUAUUGCAAUUAAAGAAAUUACUCACGAGAAAAAAAAUUAAAGAAAUAAGAUUGUCUAUUAUUUUGUCCAAACCUCUGCAGAGGAAUUCAAAAUUUCAUAAUGAUAUUUUUAUUCAUGUGCUCUUUUAGAAGAUGUUUAUGAAUAGAAUGAUUUGCUACAAAGAAAAAAGAACUUGUUGCCUCCUGAAAAUUCCGGUCUUUUAGAAGGAUUCUUUUGUCUCAAAUUUGCAACUAAUGUAACAAGUCUUAAAUUAGUUGAUGCCAAACAAGUUACUUGUAAGUAUGUUUCUCAAUAUUUAGUUUUGCAAAAUUGUUUUGGAUCUCUUUCGGGUGAACAAGAGACCCAAGAGUCAUGUCCGACCAUCUUGCUUGCAGAUACAGUUGAAUUUACACCGAUUGCUAUUUUCUUAAAAAAAAAAAUUGGUCUCUAAGUUCUAGAUUGAAAAGAUGGAAAAUGAAGAACCAUUGAGUGAAAACGAUGAAUUAGUUCAAACCUCUCAUGAGACCGAGACGUCCUCCUACAAUUGGAGUGAAAUUCAAUAAAAUUACCUCCAAAACAGGUUAACCCAAUAAAAAGUAAUGAUAGUGACCUGCAAUGAUAUCGUAAGAUUUUAUUAAUUUUGUUGAAUGCAAAUGAGAGUUCAUUUGAUUGAAUUUUUUAGAUAUUGUUGUGUUUUUUUUUAAUCUUUUUUUGGAGCUACACAUUAAAGAAUGUUUCAUUAUUUAUCUUUUUGUCUUUAUUUUUUUUAUUUAAACUAUCGUAGAUACUUAGAUUGAUUUUUGUUUUUUUUGAAUGAGUUUAUCUAUUUUUUUUUAGUUUUAUGUAUCAUUCAUGUGUGAUGUAUGGGACUUAACAUGAAUUUUAUUAAAAAAAAUAUGUGAAUUUAGUUUAUAGUAUUAAAUUUCUGUUAUCCUUAAUAAAACUUUAUAAAUAUUAAUGGCUAGUGUUCAAAUUGCUAACUUGUCAAUACAAUUUGUUAAGGUACUUUUGUAGAACAAUUAAUACGUAUGAAAUAUCUUGAAUCAAUUCUACAAAAAUCACAUAGCACAGCAUUUAAUCUUACAGAAAAAAUAGAGAAAGAAUACCCAAAAUAAUGGGUCUACCUAACCUUAGAGUAUUUUUAUAUUAAUCUAGAAACAUAAUAAAAAAAUUAUAAAAUAUUUAUCACCGUCUCAAUAAUUUUUAACAUUGAUUACCACAUGCCAUAGUAAUUGUGUUAUCAUUACUCAUCCCAUGAGUAGUUAGAUAAACAAUUAUUUUUUAAUAAAAAUAUUUAUAAAAAUAUGUAUUUUUUCUAAACUAAAAUUAGUUGAUGCAAAAGUUAAUUUUAUAAUUUUUUGUUUUAAAAUUGUGUAUAGUUAAUUUUAGUUUAUAUAUUUAUAGGGAAAGGUAAAAUGGUGUAGAUGGUAGUUAUGAUUUGACGUAUAAUUAUUGAUGUGUUUCUUCCUUAAAUAAAUGUAAAUGUUUUAUAAGAUUUCUUAUUAUCAUUCAGUUAUUAACUAAUUUAUUGGAAAUAUUUUUUCAUAUUUCAAAAUAUUAUGAAAUAUUAUUAUGACUCACUAUUAUAUAUUUUAUAAUAUUUUUAUCCAAUCAGUUGAUAUUAGUUCGUCCGAUCCGACCGAUACAAUUAAAAAAAAUAGCUUUUGUUUUUGUUUUUUUAAAAUUUGGAGGUGAGAAGUGAUUUGCAUGCAUUGGUGAAAUGUGUAUAUAAUGUGUUGGGUAUUGCUAAAUAGAGAGUUCCUAGGAGUUGUAGGUAGAUUGGUAGGAAGAGUGAUGAUUUUGAAGUUUGAAGAACAUUGAUGUUAACGAAAGGCCAAAUAAUUAAUGCAUAGCUUGACUCUGCCCAACACCUUUUUCUCUCACCCAUCACACAUCAACUAUUUUUCCUCAAGUGGGACCCAUCCGAAAGAGUGCCUAUUUUUCACAUCAUAUUUCACUCUCAAAUUACUUCUUCUAACACUUAUUGUAAAACUACUUCUUUACGAAUUUAAAUACUAAGAAUACGAAUUUCCUCAAAAUAAUAUAUUACACUAUACAUCCCGAAACUAAAGAAAAUAAAAAUCAUUCUAAAAUAACUAAAUUCUACUUUUUCGAACCUCUUUCCUGUCACAUGAAAUAUAAUUUCUUUUCAUAAUUAUCAUAUCAAUUUACAUCACACACAAACUAAUUAUUUAAACAACCAUAAUGAUAUAUAAUACAGCAUAUGUAUAUUUAGAUCACAAAUCACGUUUUUCUAGAAGUUAUACUUGAAUUUCUUCUAUGUUAAGGAACAAUUAGUUGCAAGUAUACACAUUUGUUGAUCACCUUAAAUUUUGAUUAUAAUAAAUAAUAUAUAUAUAUAUAUAAAUAUAAAUAUAAAGACAACCAUCAAACAAUCAAAGAAUACAAAAUGUCAGAAAUUUCAUAAGUAAUUAUCAACAACUUAAGUUUCAACGUCAUACAAAAUUAAAUGUGAAAUAAUGAUUAAGAAUGGAAGCAAGACAACUUAAGUUUUGACAUCAAACAAAAUUAAAUGUCAAAUAAUAACUAAGAAUAAUAGAAGCAUGAAUUGUAAGAUGAUUAAGAUAUUGGAAAACGAUUUUAAUAGUAUACUAGACGUCCAAGAAAAUCAUCUAUAAGUUUGAAAUAUUAGAUUCAUUAACUUCAAACAUGAUCUUAACAUGUGUACAACCUACUUCUUAAAUAAUGUAUAAUCAUUUUAGUACGGUCAAUACGAUCAACGUAAUUGCUUAAAUAAAAUAUGUCAUUUUACUCGAUAAAAAAAAGUAUAACUGUGAAUUGUCAACCAAAAGUCAAACAUACAUUUUAAAAAACUUUAACACCAAGGAUAACACACAAGUACUAAGCCACAUCUUUUUUUGGAAUGCCUAUAAAUUGAGACUCAUUAUGCACAUGAAAACUUGAUGGAACAUUCAUGAAAAACUCAUACAUGCAAACAAAAUUUCCAAUUAAGAUAUCAGAUGGUAAGUGUUUCAUCUGAUAAACUUACACAUACACAAAAUUGAAUUGAGCAUAUUUGUUGCAACAAAUUGACUUAAUGAAAUGUAUUUUCUAAACGAUUUUCAACUAGUUACAUUUGAUGAAAUACAAAUUAUGUAACCUCAACACUUUAUAACCUAUUUGGUUAAGCAGACAUAUUUGGAAAUUUAUUUUAAAUGCAACCCUUUUGUCUGAGAGGUGACAUUAGACACAAUUUUUACAACUCAAUUGAAUCACUUGAUUAAUGUAUUUUUUAAUUAAUUUGAAAAGUGAGCAAAUCAAAGUUAUUGUGUUUGACCAACCACUUAUUUAAAUACUUUCUCUAAAACCACUUUCAAGAAAACAUAUUUAGUACGUAAUCUCACACUAACUCUCCUUCUUGCAUAAUAAUAGAUGAUGAUAACAUAUAAUGUAAACAAGAUAAGAAAGAAAAUAUACACAUUCAUUUAUAUUAGUUUGUCUGUCGCAACAUACUACAUCAAAUUAUUGACCAACAAGCCAAAUUCAAUUAAGUAGACUACUACUGCGAAGUUCACUCGAGUAUUCUUUGGACUCGUAAUCACUCAUAGCUAAUCCAUUGAGUAUUCUUGACACAAGUCACUCCUGACUCAACUAAGUAUUUGAUGGGGUGAUUUCUCAACAAGUGGACCAAGUCAACUGUAGUACAAUUGAUAAGAAGGGUUGUCGUAUCCACAAGAACUAGUUGUUGGACAUCUUAGGAUAUUUGUCCAAUUAGUGUUUGAUGAAGUCUAGCUUAGUUUUGUCUUGUGCCUACAUUUUAUCUUUUUCAAAAUGAGAUGAUGGAUCCAAGAUAAAAAUUUUAAAAUUGUUAAAAUGCUUUUGAAAAUGGUUUAUGGAAGUUAAAUUUUUUCUUUGUAAAUAUCUUUUGGUAAGUUACUUACAAAUGCAUUGUUUUUCAAGUUCACUUAUCCUUAUUGCCAAACCAAGUUAACUCUUUAAUCAUGGUUAUUUAGAACAACAAACUAUCAUAAUCAAUUUCUUAACUUACAAUAGCUCGCUUCUGCAUUAAGAUGGAUCAGUUCAAUAAAAACAUUCAAUUUCAUUCCCAGACAUUGAAUUAUUUGGAUAAUUUGAAAGAGUUAAAAAAAAUGAAAGUGUUUCGCAACAUCAUUCAAGUUCUAUAGGCAAGAGCGGUGAUUUCUUGCAUAUUAAGCAUUAAGCAUAAAAUAAAAUUAAAGGAACUAAAAUGAAAAGGCAUUCAUAAAUAACAAAGUUCAUACAUUGCUCUUUGGACUUUAUCUACACAUGAUGAAGUUUACAAGAAAAACUAAUGAAUGAAUAACUAACAACUAGAGACAUUAAGUCUUAGAAGUUGCAUACCCACUAAGAUUGUUUCUUUUACGCCUUCUUCCUUGUUUAUAAUUGUUUAUAAAGUUGAGUGGUAAAUUAAUAAUUAUUCUUGAGAUAAGAAAAUUGAUUUAAGCUCUCUAUUACUCCAAAAUUCAUUCAUCACCUAAACAAUCAUCAUUCUCCUAUUGCUCAAAGCUCGUACUAAUGCUUUAUUCAUUAAAUCUAUCUCCAACCUUUCUUUAAUAAAUUUACAUAAUUAUCUUUAUCUCUAACUUUACUUUAAUUAAUUAUUAUUAUUUACUCUAUCGUUAUACAAAUUCCAAAUUCUUCUUUUAAUCUUUAUUCUUAUUUGACUUUUAAAACAUUGUCUUUAUUUUUGUUUUUAAACAAUAAAAUCCUAUAAUUCAUUUUCCGAAUUAAAUAAUUAUAUAGCUUAAUAAAUAAUAAAUAAAUACUUUAUGUGAUUUAAAUAAUAAGUUAAAGUAGGUACCUAGGGUUCUGUCCAUUUAUUAUAUACAGCAAUUUGGUAUGUUUACUGAACAACCGUCAACUAGAUUUUUCACUUGGUACUUAGGAAUAUAUUUCACAAUACAACAAAUUACUUCUCAAGCUCUAAUCUUAAAGAGAAUUUAGAAAAUAUACUUUUAAAUUAUUUCUAUUAAAUAAAUAAUAAAUAUUUAUAACCUAUAGAUGCUCUAUUCUUUAUCUAUUUUAAAUUAUAUUAACUAUAUCUCUAAAGAAUAUUCCAGGUCUUACAAAAGCCUGGACACAUGUGUUGCUAUUAAUUAUGAUAAAGUGAAUACUAUUUAUGUUUCCUUUUUCACUAUAAUUUAAAAAAAAAUUAUUUUUCACUCUAAUAUACUAUAUAUAUAUUAUUGAUAUUUAAAAUUUGUAAAGUAUAAAGUAUAACCUUUAACAACACAUAAAAAGAUAUGGAAGGAGUAAUUAUUCUUAUAAACAGUAUUUAUUGUUAUGCUCCCUCUAUCCAAAAGCGAAUCAGCAAAAAAAAAAAUUGUUAUUCCCUCUCAAUUCCUUUUUAAUGAUUAGACUUUUAAAAUAUUUUUAUUUCUAUUUAAUUUUCAUUUUUAAAUUCAAUACAAUACUAAUUAUUCUUUUAUCCAUUUAUAUUCUUGUUUUUCAUAUAAUUUUUAAUAUAUAUAUACACAUAUUUACAUAAAAAAGUAAAAUAAAAAAAUCUUAUAACUAUUUUAUUAAGAUUAACAAAAUUUAUUACUUUCUUACUUUUUCUAAAUAAACCUUAAACAACCUUAAAAAGAGACAAAGUAAAUAUUUUAUUACAUUUUUUUCACUAUUUUUCUUAUUAAAAAUCUUAAAUGUGUGAAAUUUCAUCAAGUUUAUACAGUAAGCAAAAAAAAUGUUCAUGUUAAUUAUAAAUGCUAGUUACGUUUAUUUAAUUUUCAUUUUAUCAAAAAAAUAUUUUAAAUUAUUAUUAACCAUGUUUAUUAGAGAUUAUUUUUGAGUUUAAAUUUAAGGAUAUUUUAAAAAUAUUAAAAUUAAAUGUUAUUGAAUUAAUUUAAACUAGUUUAUAUUUGAAAUGAUUAAACAUGUUUUUUUAAUGUUUAUAUUUGCGUUUAGAGGGAGUAUUAUUUUUCUUGCUUCAAAAGGAAAUAUUUUUCUGAUGCAUUAAUAUUUACAAGUUAAAUAUAAAAAUAAUUGAAUAUGACAUCAUAUUCCGUGUCAAAAUUCAAAUAUUGAAAUAAUAAAAUUGAUUUUAAAAGUUUAAUGAAUCUGGUUGCAACAUUUAUAUUAUAAGACUUUUUUUUUCCUAGGUGUUGUACCAUCAACAUUGUGUGUGAUAAGACAUUUUGCAGUUGAGGUGCAAUACAAUCAAAUACCAAAAUAUUUUAAGAGCUUAAUAAACUAAUUAAUACAUAUUAAUUGUUAUACUAACAGUUUUCAUAAUACAAGGAUAAGGUAUUGUUAAUCUCAGUUUAUUUUUGCUGAUCUGAAAGUUUAUUUUACAGCAGUAGUUAACCUAAUACAACAAAACUUUCAGCUAACUUAUAUUGUUUAAUUAAUUAUAAAUUAAAUCAAAUACUUAAAUAUAUUUUCCAUCCUUAUAAUACAUGUUUAAUGCUUUUAGUUUUUUUAGUUUUUGUCUUUAAAAAAAUUAUUUUACUGUUUAGAGUCCUAUGUCAAUUAUUUAUUGGAAAACAAGUAUGGUGUUCUUAAAUAAUCAAAUAUCCGUAAAAGGACCAGUAUCAAGACAUUCUAAUUUUAUAAUUUUUGUAGAAAUAUUGUCAAUAAUAAUAUAAGAAUUAUUAUUUUUAUAUAAAGUAUUAGCAUAAAACAAGUAUAUUACAGUAUAUUAAGUGAUAUGAUUACUACUAGGUCAAUAAAACGAGAUGAAUAACAAAUAAUUAAAUUUUUUAAAAAGUAUGUCAAAAAAAAUUAAAGAAAUAGAAAUGUAUUUUUUUUUAUAAAUUUUGCAAAGUAUAAAAAACUAAAAUUAUAAUUAAGCUAAAAAAAAUUAAGAAUUUAUGUUGCGGUACUCAAAGACACUAUUUUUUUUCCAUGUUUUAAGAUUUUAGUAAGACUAAUCUGACUGAAUUAAAAGAUAAGUACAUUCUAAUCAAACAUUGAUAUUCUCCUAAAAUUUUAAUUUUGGAUUCAACUCAUUAACUAAUUCUUAACUCUUUAAUAGCUAAGAAGCUAUUAUAAUAAAAAAAUUAUUAACUAUAUUCCUUUCCCCGAAUAUAAUUCAGGAAGGUUAGUAACUAAAAAAAAUGUGUGGAAUUUAUUAAAUAAAAACUGGACCAAUAAAAUUGAUAUUUUUCAAUAUAUUUCAAUUAAUAAUAUAAAAUUUAAAAAAUAAUAUACUAAAGAUAUUAUUAAUUGUUUUUACUAACAUAGUGUGCAAACAUGAUUUGUAUCAAACCCCACGUGGACGUCCAAAUUUGUUCAGUAAAAACCUAGAAAGAAUAUUCUGUUUAUGAGAAGUUGCUUAUCUAACAUUUUUUUGGGACCUUGCUCCUCUUUUGAAAGAAAAACUGAUUUGUUUUAACUUUACCUUUAAAACUCAUUGUUUGUUAGAUAGAAUUAGUUAAAGAGGGAGAGAAAGGGUAAAAGGGUAAUUAGAAGGGAGGAAGAGAAAAAAGACGAAUGUAUCCCUGAAUUGAUCUGCCUGAAGGAUCCAUUAAGUGGUUGUCCUCCUUCUUGCCCCUUUCACUCGCUACUUUCCUCCUUUGCUGCCUCACAUCACUCUUCUUCUUCUCUUUGCUUCAUUCGUUGCUGCUUCGUUCUUCUCACACAAUUUCUGAGUAAUCUUCAUCUUCAUCUUCCAACAAGAAUGGCUCUCAGACUCAAUCCUCUUCCGACCCAAUCCUUCGCCCUUCCUCAGAUGGCCAGCCUCAGAUCUCCCAAGUUCCGCAUGGCUUCUACUCUCCGCUCCGGUUCCAAGUCAGUUCUCCAACUCUCAGAUCUUCUUCUCUUAACUCAAAUCAUGCAUUCCUCCUUCUUUUCACUUCCUUCAUUUCGCUCUUUCUUUUUCUUCUCUGCUUUUCCUAUCUCUAUAAUGCCUCAAACCAAACCUAACACACCUUCUAUUGUUUUUUCAUCUUUCUUUUCUAAUUCCACCUUUUCAUAUUCAUUAUUCGUUGCCCCCAUUCCCCAUGUUUCGUUUCCUACUCUCAUGCUUGUGCUGCUUCCAUUUCAUUCAACACGGCUUCGUCAGGAUUGGAAAUGGAUUCUUAUUUCGUGCAGAACUUUGUUUCGGCCUACCACAAUACCCACCACUUUUGAUCUAUUUCUGUCUCGUCAUAUGAUUCUGUUGUUACCCGUUCCUGAUUUUUUUUUUUUUUUUUUUUUGGUUUAAGAAAAAAAUUGCAUGGUUCUUCUUCUGUUAAACCAUUUUGCACUUAUUUUUUUUGCCUUCCCUGUCGGAAUUGUUAACUUUCGUUUAUUGUUUUGUAAGGGAAGUACGAUUACUAAAUUUUUGGGUUCGUUAAUUGUUGGGAUUUUUCUUUUUUCUUUUUCUUCAGUUUCGAGUUGAGUAUGUGUAAACUCAACCACGGAUAGUGGAGCUUGUUGUGUCUUCGUUACCUUCUGCUUGAUUUGAUAUGUGGUCUCUGCUCUUUAGCCUUUACUUUAUGCGUAUGUUAGUUUGAUUGAUGAUUGUUGCCAAUAUGAUUCUCUUGUUGGGGGUGAAUUGAAAAGUGUGGUAACAGUUCGAAAUUGUUAAUGGCUGCUCCAAAACUUUGUGUUGCCGGUUGGUUGGGUUUUUUGGACGAAAAUUUGAAUAGCCUUGGUAUGAUGUAGGCACGUUCGGUGAAACUGUCCAUUUAUGACUUUGUUUGGUGUUUGUGUUGAUCGUGAUGCAUGUGCGCUUCAUAUUGUGAGCCAUGCACAUGCUAGGUGUGGGUACUAAUUGGGUAUGCUCAGGUACAUAACAGGUGAUGCAUAAUAAUGUUUUUAAACAAAAAAAUGGGUGUCCAAUGCGGCCACUGCAGUGAUGUGAUCAUGUGACUAGAUUUAACUCGGGUAUCAACUGGUCCUACUUUAUUUGCCAAAAUUGAACCUUUUUCCCCAAAUUGAAGUUACGAUCCCCACCAUUCAUCCUUACUCUAGACCUGUUAAUUGUGAGUGUAGUGUCUCCAUUUUGUUGCAUAGACAUGGGCAUCUGUCUUGAUGCAUCGAAACUGAUUUACUGUUUGUAGGACACUUUGCAAACUGCCCAUUCUGUAAAAUAGUCAUUUUUAUUCUAUUGGAUAUUGAUGUCCAUGAAAUGAUAUAGGCCUGUAUAUGUGCGGGUUGUAUACGAUUGUGGUUGUUAUUAACGAUACUGUUCACUUUGGAGAUCAAAUUUACCAGCAUGAUCAUUUCAGAAGUUGCUGUAUUAUUUCUCUAAAAGUCAUUUGAAUUUUUGUAGAGAGGUUGAAAAUAUUAAGAAGCCUUUCACGCCUCCGAGAGAAGUGCAUGUUCAAGUAACCCAUUCUAUGCCUCCCCAGAAGAUUGAGAUUUUCAAAUCGUUGGAGGAUUGGGCUGACCAGAACAUCUUGACUCUUCUUAAACCUGUAGAAAAAUGUUGGCAACCACAGGAUUUUUUACCAGAUCCUUCUGCAGAUGGAUUUGACGAGCAAGUGAAGGAACUGAGAGAGAGAGCAAAGGAGCUUCCAGAUGAUUACUUUGUUGUUCUGGUUGGAGACAUGAUCACAGAGGAAGCCCUUCCUACUUACCAAACAAUGUUAAAUACAUUGGAUGGAGUUCGUGAUGAAACAGGCGCUAGCCUUACUUCCUGGGCAGUCUGGACAAGGGCAUGGACUGCUGAAGAAAAUCGACAUGGUGAUCUUCUUAACAAGUAUCUUUACUUAUGUGGACGAGUUGACAUGAGACAAAUUGAGAAGACAAUUCAGUACCUGAUUGGAUCUGGAAUGGUAAGAUCUUAUACAUCUUCCGUAGUCUAUCAUGGCCUUCAGCGAUUGUAGUUCUCAUAAUGAAACAUACUCAUACUUGCCGUUUAACAGAUACUACUGUUGGGCGGGGGGUUGCCGGUUGAAUAAGUGCCUGAAAUAUAAAUUUUAUUAUCUAAUGCAUCCAGAUGUAUUAAUGUCUUUCUGUCUGCAAAAAUCAUAACACGAAUGCCUUUGAACUAUCAUAUGAUCUACCUUGUCAAAAUCAAUGUUUAGAUUAAUAGAGUAGGAUUCAACUUUCUUGAAAUUCCUCAUGAGCUUGUUUGGAUAAAUUUUUCUACUAGUACUUUUAGGAGUAGAAAAAAUGAAUAAGUUUCUCUAUAAGCCAAAAUUAGCUUAUGCAUAAGUUAAAAAAUCAUCUUUUAGAGAAGCUAAUAGUAGAGUAGAUAACUUCUACAUAAUAACUAAUGCAUAAGCUAUUUUUUAGCUAUGAAGAAACGCAUUUUAUUUUAUUUUUCUUAUAGAAAUGUUUGUGAAGAAGUUUAUGCAAGCAGAUCGUACAUGACAUACAGCAUUAUGUUGCUCUGAGGUCAUAAAACUAAUUGACUUUUCAUAGCUUCGCUUCUCACUUUUCUAGUAUUGUCCUUCCUUGACUGAUUGAUAUUGAUGGAUAGGAUCCUCGCACUGAGAACAGUCCCUACCUUGGUUUCAUUUACACUUCAUUUCAAGAGCGGGCAACCUUCAUAUCCCAUGGAAACACAGCCAGGCUUGCUAAGGAGCAUGGUGAUAUAAAGUUGGCCCAGAUCUGCGGCAUGAUUGCCUCGGAUGAGAAACGCCAUGAGACUGCAUACACAAAGAUAGUGGAAAAGCUGUUUGAGGUUGAUCCUGAUGGAACUGUUAUGGCGUUUGCAGACAUGAUGAGGAAGAAAAUUGCCAUGCCAGCACACCUUAUGUAUGAUGGCCAUGAUGACAACCUCUUCGAUAACUACUCUGCAGUGGCCCAGCGCAUUGGGGUCUACACUGCCAAGGACUAUGCUGAUAUACUUGAAUUUCUGGUGGGGAGGUGGAAGGUGGAGAAUCUAACAGGACUAUCAGGUGAGGGAAGGAAGGCUCAGGAUUACGUUUGUGGGCUGCCACCAAGAAUCAGAAGGUUAGAGGAGAGAGCUCAAGCAAGAGUCAAGGAGUCAUCAAAAAUUCGGUUCAGUUGGAUUCAUGACAGGGAAGUACUACUCUAAACGCACCAAGGAAGCAUCGUGAAUGUUCCUGCAAAACCGUUCUGAGAGAUGUUGAAUAGUUGAAAAUGCAGUUUGUCAAUUUUUUUCUUCUCUUUUUUUGGUCUGCUAUAUGUCACUGUAAGGUGAAACAGUUGUUCUUGCAUGGUUCGCAAGUUACGCAGUUAGGGGCAACUGUAGUAUUAGAAAUGCUAUUUUUUGUUUCCCUUUUAUUUGUGGUAGUGAUGUCUGUUGAAGCAUAAGCAAAACGUUUUUCUCUGGCAAUUUUGAUGAUAAAGAAAAUUUAGUUCAUCUGUGGUUGGAUAUAUUUCCACAUAGUAGAAGUUGGUUUGAUGAUGGUGUGUAGCGACCAUUUUUUGCUUAUUUGCCAUUUUGCAAUAGGAUAACCGAGACAUGCACUAACCAGAUUAAUUUUCACUACGGCUACUAGGCAAUCUUCUUGCGUGUGAUUCUGUCAAAUUACAUGUAAUUUUGGUGGGAUAUAUGAUUUGUUAGUAUACUCAUAUUUGCAUACGCAACGUUAAUGCGAGAAGCUUGCAAACAAAAGUUGUGUUUUAUAUUCUAACUUAUGUGCUUUAGGUUAACUUUUUAUAUGCUUAAAAAUAGUCUAAAGAUCUUUUUCCUUGGUCAUAAUACUUUCUCUACAGUGAACUUCGCACAUCAACAUAUUCAUUUUGAUGAGGGGGAUAGAUGAUAUAAUUAUGAUAUAAUUAGGGUUUGUGGUUUAUAAAUUAUUGUUGGGGUUUAGGGUAUAACUUUUUAUAUUCAAGUAUUUUGAUUUUAAAUAUAUAUUAUCUUUAAGACUAAUUAUCAUGAUAAAAUUAAGAAAAAACUUAUUCGACAAUCUAAAAGUUUGGUUCGAACAUGUUGUAGCACCCAAAUUUAGGAGAAGAUUGGGGUUUAGGUAAUCUAAAUUAUCGUUAUAGGUAUUUUAAUUAUUUUAAUUCAGGUACUUUGUAUUCUAAUGUCUUUCUUAAAUUAGAGAUAAAUUUUGAUGAACUUUGUAUUCAAAUUCUUAUAUAUAUAUAUAUAUAUAUAUAUUAGUUUUUAACUAAGCAUUUAAUUUUAAAUAUUAGUUUGCGAAUAAGUGAAAAAUAUUCCUACCCUUCCACAGAAAAAUAAAUGAGUGUAAUAUUUGACAAUAAUAUUAUUAAUUGCGAUGAAGCAGGUACAAAAUUAUAGGUGUUUGGCAAAUCAACUUACCAGUCAAUGGCAUGCCAAUUGGUGGAUAUGAAUGCAACAGCAGAAAGAAGAUUUUUUUGAAAAGUAACAUUAAAAUACUUUUUAAUUUUUAGAUAAUUGGUUUAUUUAUUCCAACAUGUAUAAUCUUCACGAUCUCAACGAACACAUAUUUCAACAGUUAAUUCAUAAUAGUGAUUGGGUCUCUGGUGCCUUUAAGUUACACCGUGCUGCUUCACUUCCUUUCCUUCACAAUUUUUCAGGAUAACUCAUUCAAAUGGCUGUUACACAGCAUUCAAGGAAGGCUUUUGGAUGGGCAGCUAGAGACACAUCUGGGGUUCUCUCCCCCUUCAUCUUCACCAGAAGGUUCUCAUUUCAACUUCUUCAAUUCCUCAACUUCAAAAAUGUUUCAUGCUUCUCAUGUUCUAUUUUCUAAUGGGUGUGGAAACAGGAGAGAAAGAUGUAGCAAUCAAAGUGUUAUUCUGCGGUAUAUGCCACACCGACCUCCAUAAUGCAAAGAGUCAAUGGGGCCAAUCCUUUUAUCCACUCUUACCCGGGUAUGCUUCCUCCACUUUUUGAAGUCUAUUGAACAAGCUUCAAACACAAAAUAUUGUCUUCACUUUUGCCUUUUAUUUCUGAAACAAGAAAGAGUUCUGUAAAUCUAUUGAAAUAAAUAAUUCACAGUAUGAUUUGAAAAGAUGAAAAAGAAAUGUUAAUUAUAUUGUUUUCUAAUUUAAGUCAUAAGAUUAUGACUCGAAAAAUAUUCCUACAAAGUUAGGACUUCGUAGCACACUUUCUUUUGUCGUAAUCUUCUCGUCUUCUCAGUUUGUCAGUUGGGUUUUCUGUCUUGGUGUCUUCCUUCGGUUUCCGAGUGCAAAGAAGGAUACCUGCAAAGACACUCCAACGAUUAAGUCAGUCUGAAAGCUAAGUACCACGAGAGUAAGGAGUGAAUAGUUACCUUAGAUGUUGUGGUUGUCUUCCUAUUUAUACUGUUAUGGAUGGUCCCUAACUGUCUUGGACCUGCUUGGGGUCCAGUUGGAGGCCCAAUUGUGCCUUAACCAUACUUUGCAUCUAAGUUGGCUUAUUUGUGUCUAAUCAUGUGUUUAAUUGUAAUUCUUGUCGGUUUCUCGGCCAUCCGGUAGCACAUAUGCUUCAGGCUCGAAUGCAGUCAUAACGUAACGCAGAGUCUUAAGUGCGCUUCGGAAAAUGUUUUAGGCCGCUACGUUGAAUAGCCGGUAGUUGAUGUGAGUGCUAGACCUUGUGGCCUGCCGUUUGGCGAACCAUAUCUUUUUCAUGGGGCGAGUAAGGUGUGGCUAUUGUACUUGGGGUGCGUGAGGUUUCGUGACGUGAGAGAGAGAGAGAAACGAGGGUUGAUCUGCACCGUUGAUUGGAGGUUGAUCUAACGGUGGAGGAUGCACGUGACAGUUCACAUUCUCAUUUUCUUCACUAUAAAUAGGGGUCAUAGUGAACCAGAUUUUUCUUGCGUUUAUCAUAACUAGCUCCGAGAACCGAAAACCCUAUUCUUGCAAUCUUUAUCUGUCGGUUGAAGAGUUUAUAGAGGUAACGAUGUCUUCUCUUUCGGUUACCAGUUUAUUUUCGUCAGUAUCUGGGGGUCUGAGUAGGAGGCCAUUGGUCGAAGAUGUUGUUUCUAGUGAUGCCGAGAGUGUUGAGGAUUCUUCCCGUGUUGUCGGUCCUUUAAGUCGGGAGAGUAUGGAAUCGACAGUGUCUUUGUCAUUGAGUGGGUAUGAAGGUGAGGAGACCCGAGAGGCCAAAUAUGUGUGGGGGUUCAUGAGAAGGUCCAUAAAGUUCUUUUUCUGUGUUUACAGAGGUCUCAAUUUAAUGUUGCAUCUUUAAGGGAGGUGGGGAAUAUUCGGCACCAAAGUGCAUCUUCGGCCAUGUGCAGGAUAACUUGCGUCAGAUACGCGUUUACAUGUUCAUUCGGAUCAAUGGUUUCGUCAUAUUUGUUCAAAGUUGGAUUGUUCCAGGUUCCUGGCAAGGGCACUUUGAGGAUGGCAUCAACAAAGGGGCUUUUUCGAGGAACGGUGCUAAGAGCGUUAGGCGAAGUCGACCUCGUGUUCUCUUGAUAUGAGCUUCCGGCUUCGUGUAUUCCCGUAUCAGCUUCCGGGAUGUCCAACUUUUCAACGAGUUUCUACUUGAUCCGGACAUUCUCCUUCCGCAAUGUUUCCAUCUCCUCCUCAUUCUUUCUCUUUAUCCCUUUUAUCUCCUCUUCAUUCUUCUUCUUCAGCAUUUCCAUUUCUUCUUGUAUUUUCGAUAUCAAUGCCAUAGGAUCUGACUGACUGGUCUCGUCUUGAGUGUUCCUUUCGUUGCCUAUCAUGUUUUUCGUGGUCACCAUGCAGAUAUUUCGUGGGAUUUCCUUUCGGACCCACAGUGGGCGCAAAAAAUGUUCCUACAAAGUCGGGACUUCGUAGCACACUUUCUUUUGUCGUAAUCUUCUCGUCUUCUCGAUUUGUCGGUUGGGUUUCCUACCUUAGUGUCUUCCUUCGGUCUCCGGGUGCAAAAAAAGGGGUACCUGCAAAGGAACUCCGACGAUUAAGUCAGUCCGAGAGUCAAGUACCAGGAGAGUAGGGAGUGAAUAGUUACCUUGGAUGUUGUGCCUAUCUUCUUAUUUAUACUGUUCUGGAUGGACCCUGACUGUCAUGGACCUGCUUGGGGGUCCAGUUGGAGGCCCAAUUGUGCCUUAACCAUACUUUACGUCUAAGUUGACUUAUUUGUGUCUAAUCAUGUGUUUAAUUGUAAUUCUUGUUGGCUAACCGACUUCUCGGCCAUCCGAUAGCACAAAGUAUAUGAAAUCCUGGUCCAUGAAAGAGAGAUGGGCCAAAGGCUGCCCACCUCAUUUUAACGUGAAGGGGCACCAGCUGCCCAAGUUGUUCAGCAUGGGCUUGCCCCGCCUCAUGCAGCCUUUUGUUGGCAUCUUUCUUGGCCUUCUGAAUUAGCCUCAAGAAAUCCUUAUAGGCCUCCUUUUGGCGCUCCCAGCGACGGACCAAGGUCUCUUUUUCCUCUUUCAGCGAGGUGUUUGCUUUCUCCAAAGCUUGAAGGGCAGAGGCCUCAAUAACUUUGGCUUUAGCUUGCUCGCGUCAGGUGUUGGCACAAGCAAUGAAGGCACCCAUGUAGUAGUUCAUGCCUUCCUUCUUGGACCCUUCAGCUAGGCUGCGUGGAGACAAUUUUUCCAGGUAACCCCUUAGCGUUUCUUGGAUUGGCAUGGAAAAUUCUGGAGCAGGUGGUGGAGCUGAUGUGAGCUCAGUUUCAAUCCCACCCUCCAAGGCCAUUGGUUGUGAGGGAGAGGUGGUGCUUGGAGGGUGCUCCCUUAGCGAGUCAGCGUCAUGGUUGGAAGAGGAUGUGGAGGUAACGACUUGGGGGGCCGCCCAGGUGGUCCUUCUUCUCUUGAAGAUUUGUCCUUCAGCAAACUCGUCUUCGUUCUCAGAAGGAACCACCACCACCCUUUUACCUUUAUCAAGGGGGUUUGGUGUAGCAGUGGAUUCGGCUAGUGCAAGAGGCAUGACUGCUAUGGGAGGUGGUGAGUUUGGAGAAUGAGUUGGAGAGGGUAGAGUUUGGGGAGUUGAUGUUGGAAGUGGACUUUGGGGGCGAAGGGUGGGGGAGGUGGGGGCGUUUUCAGAGGUUGGAGGUAUGGAGACCCCACCCCCUUUUGGGUGAAACAGACUUCAUGACUUGGGCAAGUUUCCAUCUCCUUUGCUUAUGUAUUUUUGAAUCUGUAUCAAGAGGGCAAACGCAGUAAGAGUUAGGCACAAGCUAAAUUACGGCAUGAGAAAGCAGAUAAAUCAUGCACAAAGCAAAAACAAGCAGAAACAGAGAAUAGAUGAUUAGAAGGGGUGAUUCUCAUACUUAUGUAAUUAGCAAGGGCUUCAACGUCGUAUUCACGACCUAUCAGAUAGUUGAUGUGUCUCGCUUUGAGUAUCAUUGUCUCUGACACAGGUCUGUCAUGUGUAACAUCAAUGAGAGUAGCCUCUUCAGGUUGCAAUAUUAACCAACCAUUAACAUUAAGGAAUAACACAAGAAUGAUUUGUUUAAUAAACUACAAAAAAAAUGGAAACAAAGACUAAAAUAAAACAAUUUAUCAUCUCACAUUGGGCAAAGUAUUUUCCCUACAGAUAUAUUCUGCAGGUCCAAAACCAUCACUUUCUUGACAGGAAAAUGUUACAUACUUCUUGUUUACAAUAAUGACAACCUCUUCGCUACCGAUAAUACUAAUGAUAUUACUGCAGAUCCUAGCAAAGACGGACGAUCGCAUCUUAACCAUGGCUGUAUACUCAUACUCUGGGUCCGCAUUCGGCAGUAUCAUACCCGGUUUAGCAAUAUCCAUCAAUACCAGCCACAUCUCGGAAUGGGAAAUCUUAUCCCGUGCUUUAAAGAACAACAAAGUGAAUUAAUUCGUCAAUAAAAAAAAAAACUAAAUCACGUACCAGGGUUCUCAAUUGUGAAUUUCACGAUGUUGGAACCGUCAUCGACUUUAAUGGUGAUGGUGUCAUCAUCAUCCGCAUAGUUUAGCACUCCAACCAAGCUGUUAACAUCCAUAUCCAUGAUGAUGUCGCGGUCGCAACGGUAGUGCACAAACCCCCUAGAUCGGAGGAUAAAGUUGACGAUUAAAUUGUCCGAAUACAUAGUAUCGAAGAAGAUUCCUCCCGAGGAGAAGCAGUGGAAACUGGCGACUUCGACUAACUCCUUCAUCAUUUUCGAAAGGUUCUUCAGAAUAAUGUCUCCUUUCACGAGAUGGACUUCAAACAUUUUGAUGGAAGAUGAAAAUACUCGAUGGUGGCUGGUGAGGACUAGUGAUCCAGAGCUAUCGUGAAUUUGAUUGCAGCUGCUCUAGCUAGGGUUCCCUUUUUAUAGGGUUUAGGGUUUAAGGUUUAGGGUUUAUGGUUUAGGGCUAAGGGGUUAGGGUUUAGGGGUUAAGGCUUAGGGCUUACGGUUUUAGGGCUUAAGGCUAAGGGCUUAGGACUUAGGAUUUAGGGUUUAGGGCUUAUGGCUUAGGGUUUAUAGUGUAUGGUUCAGGGUUUACGGUUUUAGGGUUUAUGAUUUUAGGGAGGUUUAGGUUUCGGCAUGGAUUCACUUUGGUGAAUUCUUCCUUGGCCGAGAGGUUUUUAACGUGCUCUCGGCAGGGAUUCACUUUGGUAAAUUCUUCCUUGGCUGAGAAGUUUUUAACAUGCUUUCGGCAGGGACUCACGGGUGAAUUCUUUCUUGGUCGAGAGGUUACCAUGUGGUGCAUUACUACUUCAGGGCUCUGGCUUCGUAUGUUCAAAGCUAUCUUGCCAAAUUUGUCCAUAAAGGUUCUUAGGGACUCAUCUUUUUCUUGCCGGAUAUUUACUAAGGCGAUGGAGGUGAGGUGGUGUGGACAGCUGGUAGUAAAAUGCGCUCCGAACUUUGUCGUGAGCGUGUCAAAACAGUCUAUGGACUGAACCGGUAGUCGAGCAAACCAAUUUAAUGUUGCAUCUUUAAGGGAUGUGGGGAAUAUUCGGCACCAUAGUGCGUCUUCGACCAUGUGCAAGAUAACUUGCGUCAGAUACGCGUUUACAUGUUCAUUCGGGUCAAUGGUUUCGUCAUAUUUGUUCAAAGUUGGAUUGUUCCAGGUUCCUGGCAAGGGCACUUCGAGGAUGACUUCAACAAAGGGGCUUUUUCGAGGAACGGUGCUAAGAGCGUUAGGCGAAGUCGACCUCGUGUUCUCUUGAUAUGAGCUUCCGGCUUCGUGUAUUCCCGUAUCAGUUUCCGGGAUGUCCAACUUUUCAGCAAGUUUCUACUUGAUCCGGACAUUCUCCUUCCGCAAUGUUUCCAUCUCCUCCUCAUUCUUUCUCUUUAUCCCUUUUAUCUCCUUUUCAUUCUUCUUCUUCAGCAUUUCCAUUUCUUCUUGUAUUUUCGAUAUCAAUGCCAUAGGAUCUGACUGACUGGUCUCAUCUUGAGUGUUCCUUUCGUUGCCUGUCAUGUUUGUCGUGGUCAUCAUGCGGAUAUUUCGUGGGAUUUCCUUUCGGACCCACGGUGAGCGCAAAAAAUGUUCUUACAAAGUCGGGAAUUCGUAGCACACUUUCUUUUGUCGUAAUCUUCUCGUCUUCUCGAUUGGGUUGGGUUUCCUACCUUAGUGUCUUCCUUCGGUCUCCGGGUGCAAAGAAGGGGUACCUGCAAAGGAACUCCGACGAUUAAGUCAGUCCGAGAGCCAAGUACCAGGAGAGUAGGGAGUGAAUAGUUACCUUGGAUGUUGUGCCUGUCUUCCUAUUUAUACUAUUCUGGAUGGACCCUGACUGUCAUGGACCUGCUUGGGGGUCCAGUUGGAGGCCCAAUUGUGCCUUAACCAUACUUUGCCUCUAAGUUGGCUUAUUUGUGUCUAAUCACGUGUUUAAUUGUAAUUCUUGUUGGCUAACCGACUUCUCGGCCAUCCGGUAGCACAGAGUAUAUGAAAUCCUGGUCCAUGAAAGAGAGAUGAGCCAAAGGCUACCUAUCUGCUUCCAGUGAAAUUCAGAUCAUAUUUAUCUUAUCUAUGGAACAAAUUUACCUUAGUGGACAAGCAAUUUUAAUGCAAAUAAUUUCUUUAAUAAAUUAUUACCUACCUUUUCAUAAAAAAAAAUGUUAUUGUUUAUGCAUGACAUGUUAUACAAGUCUACUAGUAUUAUUAAUGAUAAAUUGUAUUAUAAUUUGUGCACCAAAAUAGGCACGAGAUUGCAGGUGAGGUGAGGUAGGAAGCAAGGUAGAGAAGUUCAAAGUGGGAGAGAAGGUGGGUGUGGGGUGCAUGGUUCAAUCUUGUAGGUCAUGCGACAACUAUAGUGAUAAUCUUGAGAAUUUCUGUUCAAAAGUGGUUUUGACGUAUGAAUCGAAGUAUGUUGAUGGAAGCAUCAUACAAGGAGGGUACUCUGAUAUGGUGGUCGUAGAUGAACACUUUGUGAUAAGCAUUCCUGAUGGCCUAUCUCUUGAGGCUGCUACUCCUCUCUUAUGUGCUGGGAUCACUGUGUAUAGCCCUCUCUUAUAUUUUGGAAUUGGCAAACCAGGCUUGCAUGUGGGUUGGUUGGUCUUGGUGGCGUUGGUCAUAUGGCUGUGAAGUUUGCCAAAGCUUUUGGGGCUAAGGUCACUGUAAUCAGUACAUCUCCCAACAAAAAGAAGGAAGCCAUUGAGCAUCUUGGAGCUGACUCAUUUCUUAUCAAUCGUAAUCAAGAUGUCAUGGAGGUAUUUACCCUUUUCGAACCUUUCCAUAAUAAUUUUAUAAAACCAAUUAUCAGACCAAAAUCAUGUAUUAACAAGUAGUAUGGUUUGAAUUCUACUUUGCACUAUUUUGAAUUUUUGAAUAUGCUUUAACUUUUGUAUCUGUGAGGAACAGUUAUUGGUGAACUUCUGAUGGCUAUUUUUGGAUUUAGGCUGCAAAGGGUACCUUGGAUGGUAUAAUAGACACAUUUUUUGCAGUCCAUCCUCUUCUCCCUCUGCUUGAAUUGUUGAAGGCUCAUGGGAAGCUUGUCAUAGUUGGUUUACCAUAUAAGCCUUUGGAGCUAUCUGCCUUUCCUUUAAUUGGAGGUAUGCAUGCACAUGGAAAAUAAUUACAUAAUAAUUACAUAAUAAUUACAUAUGUAUAAAGAACCUUUGUACUACUCAAUUGGAAUAACUAUUAAUUUUAUAAUGAUUUGAAUAUUGUUACAAUUUUGAAGCCAAGAGAACAUGCCAGCAGUUGACAGGCAGUUCCAUAAAUGGAGGCCCAAGUGGGGAGACAGUUACUGUAGCAUCCACCGAAUGGUUCUUUGGGAAUUCCUUUCCCUCAGUGUCUCCUUCAACAAGCAAUGGUGGUGCCAAUGUUAACCACACUAGCAACGAUCCAAACAACAACUGGACUGGUGUCCUUGCCUAGGGAGAUUUGCAGUAGUAACCAUACAGCGCAUUGCCCUAGAUUUAACCAAGAGGAGUUAGAGAGGAGUUGCAGGUAGAGCUACCUUUUCUUAAUCUUGCAAAGCAAAUGAACAAGUUAUAAUUAGGCCAUAGGUUUGAGAUAUACAUGAUAGAGUGUCGUUUGCCAUUGAUUUGGGAGAAUACGUAUGAAUUAGAAAGGACUGCUUCUUCAUGCAAUUCCAUCUAUCUUUUCAAGCACCCGAUAAUAAAACCGAUUUUAUUAUUAUACUUUCAAUAUUUUAAAAAAAUAAAAUUUAAUUUAAUUUUUACUUUAAUCUACUCCUAUCUUUUCAAAUUUAUGCUCAUUCACUCUAUAUUCUACUCCAAACGACGCCCUCCAAAGCUCUCACCUUCUUCAAAACUCUCAUCUCUGGUAAAUCUCUUCUCCAAAUCUUUCUUCUAAACAUUGUACUUCAUCAUUCAUGUUAUCCUCUUCAUCCACAUGUUAGUAGGUUUUUAUGAUUUUCCUUUUUAAUUUGAAUUUAGUGAAAAUAAAGUAUUCUAGUAGUUUUAGAUCAUUAAAUAGAUUACAUAAUCUGGUUAGUGUUUACUUAGGUCUCGAAUUAUGUAAUCCGAUAGAUUUAUUUUAAAUGAGUUCUGAAUAGGUUUUGGACUACGUAGUCCAAAAGUCGUAACUUUUGUGUUUUAGAUUACGUAAUCCGGUAGGGUUAAGGUUUCAAUAAGUUAUGGAUUACAUAAUUUGGUAUUGGUAGUUGCUAAAUAGAUUAUGAAUUACAUAAUUCAGUAGGUUUAUUUUCUUAAAUAAGUUAUGGAUUAUGUAAUUCGGUAUUGUUAGUUUUUAAAUAGGUUAUGAAUUACAUAAUCUAGAAGUGGUAAUUUUUUAGUUAUGGAUUAUGUAAUUCGGUAGAUUUAUUUUCUUAGAUAAGUUAUGGAUUACAUAAUCCAAUAGUAUGAGUUGUUAAAUAGAUUUUGGAUUAUGUAAUCCGGAAGUUUGUUAAAUAGAUUUUGGAUUAUGUAAUCCGGAAGUUGUAACUUGUAAUUGAGUUUUGGAUUAGGUAAUCCGUAGUGUAAAACAUUUACUUUUACUUUUAUCUUUUUUAUUAAAGGGUGAUUUUGGAAAUUUCAAAAUUUAUGGAGGUGGCUGAAGAAGUGAUGGAGGUGCAGGAAGAAGAUGGCAUUAGAAAGUCAUGGUAAUUUGUUUGAGUUCGGGCCCAUUUUGCUUUCUGGCCCAAAAUGUUUUAUAUACAUACCCCUUUUUUCUGUUUUUCUAAAGAGCCUGGGGCCAUUUGACUUGCCCAGAAUUUUUGCUACUGCCACUCGAGUUUGUUAUGCAUCCAUCACUUUCUUAAAAUCCUGGCCCAUUCAUUUUAUUCUGCAUUUUUGUUAUUAGAACUUCCUCUUUUAUAUUUCCACCACCACUUUUCUUAAACAAUCUAGUAAAACUCUAUAAGUGUGUCCAAAAUUGAAUAUAUCAUUAUUAUUCUUUUGAAAUAUAAGGAGUAGUGAUUUAGUAAUAACAAGAACUAAAAUGACUGUUACCGAGUAAUUUAUUUUAUCCUUGUACUUUUUAAAUUGUUGUUUGAAAUUUUUGUUUGUAUAAAUAAUAAAAAAAUUACUAUUUUUUUUAAAUGAGUUUAAUUUUGAUACAUAAUUUUUUAUAUUAAUCAAUUAAAAAUAUCCUAAAUAUGAUUUUUCAAGCCAUUAUUAUAAAAAAAAUAAAAAUUCAUAAUCAGAUGAUAACUUAUAAAGGAUUAAUAUUAAAUUUAGUUAUCCAAGAAAAUAGUAAACAAAUUAGUAAUUAAACAUUUUUCAAUUAAAAAAUUUAUUCUUUUCAUUUUUCGUUGAUACAUGCUAGUUCGGAGCUUCGUGGCAAUUUUGCUUGCUCCAUCGCGUUAGGGUUUUCAUAGUUUCCCAAAACAAGUUCCUAGGGUUUGUUCAUUCAGGCAAAAAAAAUGAUCGACUUGUUGUUGACGAAGCCCAAUUGGAACGACGUCGUAGACGAAGAAGAUUCAAUUCGAUCCGGAUUGUCCCUUCUGAGCGACUUGGAAACCGUUAUUUGGUCCGCGGUGGGUCGCGCCGAGGCGCGUUUAUGGCUCUGCAACACCGUCGCGGGUUUCAACUGCGUGACUUUACUCGAUCAGGGUGACCUGUUUCGGGCUUCGCUAAGAACACGAAGGACGAAGCGUGAUUUGGCGUCUCAGCUUCUGCAUUUCUUGUUUGACACCUCGCCCCACAAACUGGGUUCCGUUUUGGCUCGGAGGAGUCACGUGCUUGAGAAUUUUUUUCAAGGUUAGUUCCGUUUGCGCAUUCUUUACUCUUUUAAAGUGCUG